Molecule: long non-coding RNA, 52560 nt
Filed under: Triticum aestivum (bread wheat)
Lineage: Eukaryota; Viridiplantae; Streptophyta; Magnoliopsida; Poales; Poaceae
Description: long non-coding RNA (TAES_LNC003480)
Source: RNAcentral
UACAAUAAGACGUAUAAUAACAUUACUCAUUGCACCAAAUGGAGCAAGGCGCAAAGGCCCCACUUCAAACCAAGAGUUAUUUGAAAAUAAAUGCUUGAUAAUUUAGCAAUGAUAAGGAUGCUUUUAAUAAUGAAAAAUAAAAGAAACAUAGCCUCAAACUAUGUAAUAGCAAAAUGCGGGCAUUCUCUCUAUACAAUUUUGCUAUGUUAGCUGGAACUUAGGAAACCAGGUCACGCUUUGUCCUUGAUGCAUUGUUGGUAAAUUCUCCCCUCCCACUCCUCUGGGUCCAUAGCAUUUUGUCCUUCACAGCCCCUUUAUAGGUUAGAUGCAUUGUAAUUCCUUUAUUUUUUAAAGGACCUGAAGAAACAAUGCCUUGCAAAAUGUUCGUCGUCUCUUCAGUGAUGGAGCCACUCUCUGCCAUCUCUUCUUUUUUGAAGGGAACUGGACAAACAAUGACCAACACCAUGUUUAUGACAUGUUGGUCUACUGUAAUAGAAGUGUAAACAUGAAAUUAUGAAUCAAUUCUGGGUUGUCGUGUAAGUGGCUGACUGGAGUAUCAAAGCUUUCUCCAGGGAACAACACACAACAUGAAUAUCCUAGAUGUGUUUUCCAAGUUAUAGAAUCCGCAUGAGGUAAUCAUGUGAGUCUACUAUAUAGAAAUUGUAGGCAAAAUUCAGCAACAAAGGUAACAUGUGUAGUGAGAAAUUGGAUAACAAAAGAAAUACUUUCAACCAAAUCCAGAGGAACACAUAGUUUGCCCAGGAACUUUUCACUGAAGUAACAAUGCAAUUAUUCAUAGCAUGUUUGUUCUAGAACCAAACUAUUCUUUAGGAAAUUGUGGAGACAAAAUUAUACGAAAAAGGGAGACACUCCUACUCAACCUCGGGAAAGAACCAUCAAUGAUAUUCAGAGUUUAGCCUUCGUGCAGUAAUAACAUGUGCAUAUUCAUCCUAUUUUUCUUCUACCUUACCAAAUAAACUGGCCUCAAUCUUACAAAAAUUAUUUCUUAAUCUAGUCAGCUGCUCAAAUGUAUAAAUUAAAAUUUAAGUUUCCAGCAAUAUAGAAGUCAUCUUAAAAAACAUCAGCAUACUAAAUGACGAUGGAAACAAUAACACACAACCCGCUCACAUGACCAAAAAAUAAGCAAAGUGGGGUAAAGGAACACACAAAUGCAACGCUGAGUAACUCUGGAUGAGAGGACGACCAAUCAGUCAAACAUACAUAGGAUGCACUGAAAUCGGUAAACUAUUAUUAAGCGGAAAGAGUUGUCUAAAUUUCAGAAAAAAUGACAACAGCAUCAACAUGAACAAUUCUAAGAGAAAAAUGAAAACCCAAUUCCUCGGACUUUUUUAACUUUCGGCCAUGUGCAUGUUUUUUAUGCAUUCAGCAACACUAAAAGAGAGACAAAUAUGUGAGUGCACAUGCUUUGGUAUUACGAAACUACACUCAUUUCAGUUAUAGACAAUGGUAUUAGGAAACUUCACUCAUUUCAGUUAUACACAAUGCAGACCAUAAGUUGGCGACUAUACUUCCAAAGAAAGAUGAAAUUUAAAAUGUGGAGAACAAAGUAAAGAGGUAGUACACGGUAUUGAAGCAAGAAAACAGGACAUAGUGCUACUAAUUCGGCUUAUAUGCAUAGCAAAUGUAGCUUAUGUACAGUAGUGGUGAAUCCAUUAUGAACAAUAAUUUAGAUUUAUGCAUAUAGUAAUGCCAAGUUUUGACAAAAUCUGUAAUUGGUAUGAUUUCCCUCCCAACUGUUAUAGAUGAGCAUACUCCUAUAUAGGACUAUUUUCAAAUUAUCUAAAUUAGACCCACAGUAAUAAAACCUAGGGGCAACCUCAACAACAACAAAAUUAUUAAAAAUAAAGACUGCAAGUUAAACAAGCCAGACGCAUCAAAUUUUAUAUCUAGUUCUGAAAUUUUCAUCAUUCCAUAUUAGUCCAGAACUCCAGAUAGUUAGUUAUUCUAGACAAACUAACUCUGCUAAUGGAUUAAAAAAACACAUAACCUUUUUACAAAUGAGUAUAAGGUUUAGUGGUUUAAAUAUUUACUUCAUCAAAUAGUCCAAUACUAAUUGCUCCAAAUGACAAGUGCCAUCUUUUAAUCCCCCUUCCUAGACAAGUGGUAGAUCAUCACACUGGAACUACUAUAGGGCUCAUAGCCUCAUGCUAGAGACAAGAAAAAAUUGUUCUUGGUAAAUUCUCAGCAAACAACUGUGACAUGCCGCCUGAGCACUUCUAAUGAGGGGCUCCAGACCACAGGCCCCCAAAUUCAUUUCUAAAAUUGAGUUCAGUAGCAUGUCGUCGCUCUCAUGAGCACUCCCGUCCAGGUGCACAAAGAAGGAAAACAUGACACUUACAUUAGGAAAUACCUAUACGGUCCACGGUGUGAUUCUCCCUUAACAAUGCAGUAUGGGACCUCCCAAUUUCCUGCACAGGGCUGGGAACCACACAACCAGCUCAACUGGGUCAACAUCAUGAGCGAUGAUGACCAGCUGAGGGUUGCUCUACAGCACAAAACACAAGGAUUAAUCACGGGAAUGAUUAUUGUGGCCACAAAAAGAUGCCAUGAAUAAGAAUUUUCCCCUACCGCAAGCGUUUGCCUGCAACUUUAAACUGAACCAGCAAGUUAUCCUGUCAUUUGUUACAAAGUAAUGCUUAGAAGACUAAUUUCAAAAGGGCAAGAGUCCAAUAUACUUUCAGAAUGUACAGUUUAGAUUAUCUUUUCUAGUACCAAUUCUAAACACAGCAAAACAGUUUAGCUCCUAUUAUUUAAGCUCACAGUAUUUCAACCAAGAAUUGUUCGCAUGUCAUAAUAUCUUUUGUAGUCGUAAUCCCAGUAGUAUUUACUUGCGCAUUUAGGAUAUCAUAGUUAAAGCUAAACAAGAAUUGUCCUAGCAUAAUUUACCUUUCAGAAGCUUACAGUAGUAAUGUAAAUAGAGAUGGUUGAGACAUAAUUUUGUAGAAGAUCACAUCAGAGAGGCAAUAGAUUACAUCUGAAAUCGCCCAGUUAAAAUUAUGUGUCAGCCAUAUGAAUCUCAACACCAAAUAACAAUUAGAAUCUGGACUGAUAGGUCGCUUCUCCCAUUUGAUUUUUGCCUGACAUUCAAACCUAAAACUAACUAAUUCUACUUUAUAUCCAGAGAAGAGGUGAAUAUGACAAUACGAUCUGUCAAACCAGUACACUGACUCAUAGCUCGAUGUCAAAACACCAUGGCAUUACUUAACAGGCAAAACACAAAUGCUUAACACCUGGAACAAGGGAAGAUGAGGAUACUAACCUAUAAAUAAGGCCAUCUUUAUACAACCUGAGAAAAGCUUCAAUUACAGUUUUGACCUUUACUCAUCCAUUGUAAAGGACUGACACACGAGGUGGAAAUUAAGUUGACAUUGGGAGUUGGAACUAUAGACAAUACAUUGUUUAUUUGUUUUCUUUAUUUUUCUUAACUAAGGAAAAUAAGAAGUAUACCUCACGGACCAAUCAAGGGAGGUGCCAAGCCUACAUAAUUGAUUCAGUAUGGCACCACCAAACUGAUCUUUCCAUUCCAGGACCUAUACAAAAGAUGAUAAGAGGAUACACCAAGUGUGCAAAGAAAUAAGCUCACUACGAUUCAUGGCGCAUCACACAUGACACUGCUGAUUGUGAAUUUCAUAAAUAUACAGAACACUGAAUCUACACUAUUUACACCUUCUACCAUACAUUGCCUGGACAAACAAAAGAAAAGGCAACCAUGAGUUAUUUCAACUGGUGUAGGCAAUGUACUUAUAACAGAGCAACAUCACAGCAGUUCUAGUUAUCAGGACAAGACUAAAGUGUAGCUUAAAACCAUAGUUAACUAUAUGUAUAUUUCAGUUACUUAAAAUCAAGAUAGUAGACUUGUUCCUAACCCUUGUUGUGAUUAGUGGCCAUGUGCAUGACUAAACCUGAGAUAAUGAUUCAUUUGCAAAUUCCGCAGACACGUGUAUAUUAAACCAGCAAGUUACGGCAGCCUAAUUGUCCAAAAGCAAGAGCUUAACAUGUUUCCAUAGAUGCCCAAUUCAGGCCGUGCAGUCACAAAUAAAUGUCAAGCAAGAGCUUAACAUGUUUCCAUAGAUGCCCAAUUCAGGCCAUGCAGUCACAAAUAAAUGCCAUGCCAGGCUCUAGAAAAUUUGAUAUUAAGUCAUGUCCCAUGAUCUUCUUUGUAGUUUUAACUUUAAUGCCACAAUUAUUUAUCCAAGCUACGACAUUGGAAGAUUAUUGUGAAUUUCCUACCCAAUUAUAAAGUACUAAAGAUGGUCAUGUGAGUCAAUUAUAUAUAUUGUAGGCAAAAUUCAGCAACAAAGGUAAUAAGCCUAGUGAGAGACUGGAUAACAGAAGAAACCCAAUCAACCAAGUCAGAGACAUAGAGACCAUGUUCAGGAACUUCUCACUAAAGUAACAAUUUGUGCCGUUUCAUAUUCACAACACACUAGUUGAAUAAGUUCCUGUAAAAGAUAUCUAAAUUGUGUAAGGUUGCCUAAGUCUAGCCAAAAUGAAAGAAAAAUGUGCAUUUACCAAGCAUGUGGUAAGAAGAUAAGAAUCCACCUCGGAUAAAUAAGACACUCUGCAAGAGAAAGGAGAAUUGACCAAUUCAUGCACAGACAAUCUGAGAAUUGCUCCCAGCAUCAAACACGAAGAUCUGGAUGGCACCCAGCACCUAUCCAUCCUUACGAAAACCUUAAAAUUACAUUCAAUGUCCAAAGGGGGGAUAACAACCAGUACUUGUACUUACCAAGACCAAAAAGAGGCAACAAAAAAGACAAGGCAAGCCGAGCAUCUGUUUUAAUAAGUACACAUCAAAGUAGCAAGGCAAAAGUUGGUACAUCUUGGUUAUAGUUUUCAUCAUCAGUGGGAAUAUCAUCCCACAAUAAUCAGACAACAUUAUUAACUCUAUGCCCAAACCAUAUUGCCAUCAGUCUUCAUGUAAGGCACUUUUCGGUUUAACACGUGGACUGGAAGGCAAUAUAAGCCAUUCUCUGAACCUUCAUGCAAAAAAUUAAUCAUCCAAAAGUGGAAGUGGCUGACUAACAGCACAUAGUUGACCAAUUACACAUAGCUGAAAAACAGUACUAAUUCUACAAUGGUAGAUCGGCACAUUUAUCUACCAAAUGGUAUGGUAAGAACUGGAUAACAUGAUAAAGAUAAGCAGCUAAAAUUGUAUAAGUUAUGCAGCUCAAACCUUCAAAAUAUUCAGUAAACUGAUGUACUGAAAACAAUGUCACCUUUGCUUACCUAAUUUAGAUCAUGCCAUCGAUCCACAUAGCAAAGAUCAAUCAUGCCACUUGUCGAAAUGAUGCGGCCACUGCCAAUAGUAAAGCUCUCUCCACAUAUCCCUACCGAAGUGAAAAAUAAGCAAAUUAAAUUUUCUGUAUAAAAUCACACUCAAAUAAGCAAAUUAGAGGCAAUACGCACCAUACCUUGUGGAGCCAAGAGAUGGAGACGUACCUUCCAUGGCUUGAUCAGAGAGCAAGCCAACAAGAGGAGAAGAGAAAGUCCACAACAUGCAAGCUCAAGAAGCAGAGCUCAUCGUUGAGGCGAGGAAGGAAACAAAUCUGUAUCCCCAGUCGCGUCGUUUCACAACGCGACGACCACAGGCAUACCCUCGUUCACCCUUGCGUUGUCGCCCUCUUCCUUGGCCUCCAACCCAUCACGGUCGCCCUCUUCCUCGGCCAGUUCCACCCCCGUGCCAUUGCCCAAUUCCUCGGAGCGAGGAGGAGUGAGGGGGGAUUGGGAGACAGGAUAGAAAACCGGAGGCGGGCGUCCCUGUGCAGCGCCGCCGCUGGCCGUGCCGGCUUCCCUCGCGACUUGCUCCUCCAGUCCUCGUGCAAAGAGAUGCGGUCGGGUCGGCCUGCUCCUUCCCCUUGUCCCCGACUGCUGCGCUGCUAGGCUCAGCAACAAGGACACGUUGAGGAGGCAAAGACGGGCGGCGGACCUCCUUCAUCUCUGUUGCAGCUGCACCCCACCAGAGCUGCUCUUCUCCGGCACAGAUCCGCCGUCUGUGUGCACCUACGAUGGUGGAGAGGGAGUAGGAGGCCCGGGCGAGGCUCCUAGGGCGGAGGCCACGGCGAGGAGCGAGGAGGAGGGAGGGGUUGUGGGGAUGGGCCCUGGCGAGGAACGAGGAGGAGGGAGGGGUUGUGGGGAUCGAUGAGGAAGGGGCUAGGUUGUGUGGCGGCUGGUGUGGAGCAGGACGGGAGAGAAUGGGAUUGGGCACAGGUGCGUGGAGCGGAUUGGCAAAGUUUUUUGCACGCGGCGCGGCACGAGCGGCUGCCUCGCGCCCCCGCACCAGGAAAAGCAACACCCGGCCGUUUCGAUCCAAGUGGCCACAGCACCGGCCCACACGUCAUGCCUCGCCACGAUCCACUGAUCGGUAAAAAUGAGUGCGCAGAAUUCCAGCGACGAUCGAACGACCAACGCGCGAAAAAAGAACUGGUCAACGCCGGUCGAACGGCCAAUGAAGGAUGCCAUCGGGGGAGCUCCUGGGAGCGAGUUGCCCUGCCUCUGUUUUGUUUUAAAUUUUCUAAAAUAGAGAUGGGUAAGAAACAUGUAGAAAAUAUGAUCAGCAUGCUAUAAAAUUUCAUGAUGCAAGGAUACACACAUGCUUUUUAGAAUGGAGUUGACAUAUUUUUGCUGGACUGGAGCGGACUAGUUCUUUGGCCACUGGAAUCUGCUUAUUAGCAGUAGGAGUUGGGUUUCUCUGUGCUGGAGCAAUAUCUAUAAAAACUCGAGUUGGUUUAUUAUCUCCUGGCUUUUGGAUCUUUUGCAAAGGUCUUGUUUGUAACCCUUCAGAUUCUAACAUAGUCGUCUUCCCCUUGCAUGCCUUGUAUAGAAGAAUGGUGCUUUAAUUAAAAAACAUGCUACAACAGAGAGAUGAAAUAGGUACUGAAGAAAAAGAAAGGCAUGACAUAUUGACAUGUAUUCCUUCCAUCCGGAAAAGAAUGGAUGGGUCUAGGCAUAUUUCAGUUCUAGAUACAUCCUUUUUUAUCCAUUCCGGCAACAGGUAAUCCGGACGGAGGGAGUAUGGUGUAAGGGCUAGGGAUACGACAGGACAACACAGCAAAAAAAACUAGUUGAAUGUAAAACUGUAUGCUAGUGGAAUACGUACAGAAAUAACUAAGGCAACAUACACGUGUAUGAUUGGGAAACUAAGAUGGCAUUCCAACAGAACACUAGAACAGCACUUCAAUGUAAAAAAACAUGGUAUGGUAGACAGAUGCGGUACAUACUGAUGAAUAACAAUGCAUAAGAAAUUUAGAAGCAUGAUGUCCAAAUUAAGUAGAUGGCAUUGCGAUAGAGUAGAAUGACUGUACUUGAAUUUGAAAACAUGUUAUCAUGAAUGGAAUAGGUACUGAAAAACAGGAAGGCAUGGCAUAUUUAGAUGCAUGAUCAGUAUGCUAAGCACAUAGCAUUGCAAUAGAGAAGAUACACUUCAGGACAUUAUAUGCAUGAUGUACCCAUAUUGAUAUGACCCCGUGCAAUUUAUCUAUGAUGGUCGCUACUGAUAAAACGAAGUCUGCACAGAUGGCCGAAUAUGGCACUAGUAUUGUUCAAGAUGAAGAUAUAAUUGUUGUAUCACCAAGAUUGAAAAUAGAUGACACAGAAUGUACAAGACUCCAUGAAAAUUACUAGUAGGCCUAUAGGAGCACUUGUAUGCAUGUGCGUACGGCCAUGCAUGCAUAGGAAGCAUGAAGUCUUGGUGAGUCACGUUUGUGGAGAUAUUUUGGGAGGAGUUCAGUUUGAGCCAGCAAAGGAAUCCACAUGCAACAUUGAUCAAUUUCAGUUUGGGCCAGAGAUAAAUGAGUUCUCGUGCAUCCAUGGGAGAUUAGUCAUGUACGCAGCUAACCACCAGCAAGGAGUUAUAAAAAUAUACAAGUUCCAUCUGGUGCGGCCACCUGACAAAGAAGCAUACUCGUGGACAACUAUGAAGAUUAGAGACUUGUAUUCUUUAAAAGGAACCGGGUGGGGUCCACCGGUGAAUUGCAACAGUCACCAGCACCAAAUAACAAGUCGUACUAGUUGUUUUUGUUUUCUAAGAUUUAGUCAAGUCAGUUGUUAUGGUCAAGUUUGUUUUCCUUUUUGGUUUAGGGGUGCGGUUAGCUUGUUGGUCAAACCAUGUACGGGCCAGCUAUAUUAUUAUAAAAAGCCAUAGUUCGGUCAAUGUAAGGCAGGUUAUAUUUUUAUGAUUAGACACGAUGUGUUUUUAGGGUAAAUACCCAUAUUGAGUUUUGGGGGAAGCUGUCUAAAAAUCCCUAAGUUUUGGAGGAAGCUUUAGAAAACCUCUGUGUUGCGAUUUCUCUUCGUGGAAAUUGUUUUGUGCGUGAGUACCGUCGUCGAGAUUGGUUUUCUCGUGCUGGACCGUAAGGUUCAAUCCCUCUACUUCGCGUACAUCGCGUGCGCGGGCGAGAGGCUACUACUGCUGAAGGUGGAGUGUCGUGAAAGGUCGGGGUGCAACAACAGACCGGAACUCGCCACGAGGUUCGGUCUACAUCAGGUGGUAUUCAGAGCAUCAGGUUGUUCACGACACUAUGGAAAAGAUGGCGAGUGUAUCAUCAUUCAGUAAGCUAAGCUAUGGAUUUCAGUUGGAGGAGAAAGGACGCCGGGUCGGGCUUUUUCACACCCGUGUGGUGGUGAGGGAGAGAUCAUGUGCCAUGACGAUCGAUCACAUGAAUGUGGUCAACGCCGCAAGCAUCGAGAUGGUUGAAAAGCUGAAUUUACCAAUGGUACCACGUCCACAACCAUACUUGUUUCGUUGGGGUCAUGAAGAGCUCACUAUCACGCACCAAACCAAGGUACCGUUUUUGUUGGAAAAUUAUUUUUGCGAGGUUUUGUGCGAUGUGAUUCCGGCACCAAUGAUUUCAUGUCACUUGUUAUUGGGCGAGCCAUGGUACAAAGAACAAGAUGUUGUGUAUGAUCGCAAAACACACAGAUAUACCGUCAAGAGGGAUAAGAAGUGCAGCCUCGUGCCAAUGGGUACGGAGCAUUUUAUUGCUUGGAGGAAAGAACAUAUUGUGAAGAUGAAAGAGCUGGAAGAAGCAAAAAAGAAGGUUGGAGCUGUUGAUAUGUCUACUGCCUGUGUUCAGCCUGGAGAUAAAAAUACUACUAAAGAGGAUGACUCAAAACCGAGGACGGCUUUGAUGCAAGGAGGAGAGGAUGAUAUGACCCCGUGCAAUUUAUCUAUGAUGGUCGCUACUGAUAAAACGAAGUCUGCACAGAUGGCCGAAUAUGGCACUAGUAUUGUUCAAGAUGAAGAUAUAAUUGUUGUAUCACCAAGAUUGAAAAUAGAUGGCACAGAUGCAUUGAAGUAUAUACAUAUUGAUCAGGAAAGUGUGAAGAAUGUACAAGACUCCAUGAAAAUUACUAGUAGGCCUAUAGGAGCACUUGUAUGCAUGUGCGUACGGCCAUGCAUGCAUAGGAAGCAUGAAGUCUUGGUGAGUCACGUUUGUGGAGAUAUUUUGGGAGGAGUUCAGUUUGAGCCAGCAAAGGAAUCCACAUGCAACAUUGAUCAAUUUCAGUUUGGGCCAGAGAUAAAUGAGUUCACGUGCAUCCAUGGGAGAUUAGUCAUGUACGCAGCUAACCACCAGCAAGGAGUUAUAAAAAUAUACAAGUUCCAUCUGGUGCGGCCACCUGACAAAGAAGCGUACUCGUGGACAACUAUGAAGAUUAGAGACUUGUAUUCUUUAAAAGGAACCGGGUGGGGUCCACCGGUGAAUUGCAACAGUCACCAGCACCAAAUAACAAGUCAUACUAGUUGUUUUUGUUUCCUAAGAUUUAGUCAAGUCAGUUGUUAUGGUCAAGUUUGUUUUCCUUUUUGGUUUAGGGGUGCGGUUAGCUUGUUGGUCAAACCAUGUACGGGCCAGCUAUACUAUUAUAAAAAGCCAUAGUACGGUCAAUGUAAGGCAGGUUAUAUUUUUAUGAUUAGACACGAUGUGUUUUUAGGGUAAAUACCCAUAUUGAGUUUUGGGGGAAGCUGUCUAAAAAUCCCUAAGUUUUGGAGGAAGCUUUAGAAAACCUCUGUGUUGCGAUUUCUCUUCGUGGAAAUUGUUUUCUGCGUGAGUACCGUCGUCGAGAUCGGUUUUCUCGUGCUGGACCGUAAGGUUCAAUCCCUCUACUUCGCGUACAUCGCGUGCGCGGGCGAGAGGCUACUACUGCUGAAGGUGGAGUGUCGUGAAAGGUCGGGGCGCAACAACAGACCGGAACUCGCCACGAGGUUCGGUCUACAUCACAUAUCACAGGCCAAGUUAGAGCAAGGACCUUGUGGGGUGAAGAGGAUUCAUCAUCUUUCUGCAAGUCUUCUGAAGAGCUGCCUUUACAUGUUUCAUCAUAUUGGGUAUCAUUGACAUCAAGUUUAUUGGCCUUUACAUUGCACCGUGAGGUCUUGUGGAUAUAUCAGUGUGUGCAAUUAUAUCUGACAUGCAUGAAAGACACCUAGUAGUUAGAUUUAUGUAAUGACUACCUAUAGGAGACGACAUAAAUAGUAGGACUGGGGUUAACUAGCAGCAACAGGUCUCAUAAACUAAAGGGAGAACACAGAUGAAAGCUACAGAAUAUGUAUUGUUUGUACUCGAGAUUAACUAGAUGGCACACAAAAGUAUUAAAGAACAACAUAGGUAAUACUAGAAGUGGUAUAAUACUAUAAUCCCCAGCCUGUGGGAUAGCAUUGGAUGAUGGAUGGUAACUAUGGAACAACGUUACCUGAAGAACAAGUAUCUUAGCUGAACUAUGGAACAGCGUUAACUCCUGAACAAGACCCGUAAGAGAUUAGCAUGAAUAUAGAGUGAAAUGUGAUGAUCUAUUUUCCAUGCUUAGAUGAAUAAUAAAGCCAUAAAUGUUGCACACAAGUAAGAUGAGGGUACAACCUAUCUGGUUGCCAUCCACAGGAGUGAGCAUCAUGUGCUGACUUGUCGAUGGCCCUGAAGUUGUUGUGGCUGUCCAUGUCGGGCACGCGCAUUUGAUGUAGGGAACUGUUGAGUGGGGACUAUAGCUCCCUUCUGGUGUAUGCUUCCCUUGUUGGAUCAGCUACGGUGAGUCGGAAGACGGUGUGUCUGACGAUGCAGAUAACACAUAAUGUUAAGAACAACAUAUCUCUUUGAUCUGAAGAAAUACACUAAGAGAUCAACAACAAGGUACGAGAGUGGUCACACGUCUGUUGACUGAAGACAAAAUUGGGGUCACGUGAUUUUAUUUUAUUUUGGUACUGUUCGAUCUACGCCGGCUGGCUUGAUGGCCGUCUUGUGCCUCCCGGCUGACACUGUUCGGAAUCUUCCCCGAAGAGCCAGCGACCAAUGGCAGAGCAGCCUGCCUCCACCGUCCGUGGCCCCAGCCAAAACCCCUCUCCCCGCCCCACCGCACUGCCGUGGUUGCGCUGCCCCCGAGCCAAUCCACAAAGACUCCCCGUCAUCCAGAUCCGGCGGCGGCAGUACCUUCAACCCACGCAACUCUAAAAGAUAGCCAUCAAAGCGCCGCUUCCGCGGCGAACUUGCGGCCGCGCACCCUUACGUUAGACACCAGCCAACCGGCAGCCUAGGUGCUUCGCCCCCUCGAGGGGUGCUGUUUCCCAUUGGGAAUCGAUUGGCCCAGAAUAAAAAUUCAGACAACUGACGCCUAAAUAAAGUGAUUUGUGAUGAGGGUGCAACCUAUCUGGUGGCAUGGUGAAGUAGGUAGGUCCAGUUGCCUAGUCAGUGAGGCCGACGCGGUUGCGGUGGCGACCGGCGGCAGGGAAACAACGAUGUCGCGAUGGUCGGCGACUACGGGGAAGCAGCGCCGGGACUCUGGACGGAUCCGAAGUUGGAGCCGCUCCGGCACCGUGAACAACGGCGGGGGUGAAUCGGCUCUGGUACGGUUCAUGCGGCCAUCAUCGAGGCAGCUCUAGCAGCACGGCGUAAGAGGCACACGGCCCAGUGCAUGAUGGCAAAUGGACAGCGUCUCCGGCAUUAGGGAGGAGGGCGGCUGUGAAAUUGGUGCGGUGGGGGGCGCCAUGGGGGAGGGGCUGAGGUUUCGUGGCUCGGGAGAAGGGAGCUUCCCGGGAGGCGCGGGGGGGAUUGGGAGGGGAGUGGAACCAUGUCUUACGGACGCAUUUGUCUGAAAUAUGAGGGGGAGUUGCACUUCUACCCCUGCCUUUAGACUUCUCGGCUUGGGUCCAUGUACUGAGGGUCGGGGUUAGUAGAGUAACUUUGCUUCUCCCCAAAUAGUGGGUGGGAGUGAUUUCGGGCGAGAAGGGUGUGUUUUGAAAUAUAGUGGGCACGAGCGAUUUCUGGCGAGAAGAGUGUGUUUUGAAAUAGUGGGCGCGAGCUAUUUCGGGCGAGGAGAGCGUGUUUUGCCGACCAUGGUUUAUGAAUUAUUCGGCACAUGUCAUUUCGGCCGAGGAGAGGCGCGCUUGGAUGAAGUUACGAACCUACCCUCGAUGUACAACGGCCCAAUUGAUGUGUGUCCCACAUAGGACGGUAAUUUCGUGUCUUCCAUUUAUUUUCUUGGGCGAAUUCCACCGAGCAUAGGAUGUUUAACGGUUCAUUCAAAUUUUGGGAGAACGAGCAUCCACAUCUACCUUACCAAGUCGAUUCAUAUCAAAUUUUGAAAUAUUAGCUUGCCACUUCUUUUUUAGAUGGAGAGAUUAUGCUCGGGAGUAAUGUGUUUUUACAUGCUCGUUGCUAGCAAUUUUCUAUAUGACAAAUAGUUGACCCACUCAAAAACGCGAAUCAAACCCAAAAUGAAAUAUCUCGAUUCAAUGAAAUAGCUCAUUCACUAGGUCAAAAUAGUGAACUAAAUCCAAAAAUGAACACCUCAAUCGAGUAGCAUGUUGUACAGUAUUAUAGUACUCCAUGAACAUGUUGAAAGUCAAAUUAAUGAACUUGUUUGAUAUACGCAUAUAUCCGCUCAUGUGUGGAUUGCAGACAACAUGUUCUCCAAUUUAAAUAUUUGAAUGCAAGUUUAUAUCGAAACAUGGUUUAUAUCAGUCUUUGAUGCAUAAACGCGACCUCCCCCUCUCCCGGACUCCUGUUCUCUCUCUCUCUCUCUCUCUCACUCUCUCAUCGAUAAUCUUCAAUUUUGUCGCAUGCAUCAGACACAAAAACCUUGUUGGUCCCUCUCCCUUUCUCUCCAUCUCUCUCUCUCUUUUUGUGUGUGUGUGGGGGGGGGGUCUUUCUAGUUUGCAUGCAUAUAUACACCAUCUAUAGGUCUCUCUCGCACACUAUGUAUGAUACUCUAGCUAGUCCAAGCUAGAUAUCUUGGGUGCACUCAUUGUACGCACACAAAUUCCUUGGCUCGUUGGCUGUAACUCUCUCAUGCACCACUCUGUCGUCUCGGAGCUCUUCCCCCCCUCUCUCAAACUCUUCAUCCACCUGGGUCACACAUACACAUGCAUAUCUCACUCGCACUCGAUAGGCCCAUCUAAAACUCUAUCUCUCUCCCUCGUUCUCUCCCCAUAUCACACGCACACACACACACACAAUCUCAUGGCUAGCUAGCCAAGUAUGAUGGUCUCUCACUCAAUUGUAGGCACACGCAGUCCCCCCUAUAUGUAUAUGACUAGCUAAUCUUAGUCUCCAUCACAAACAUGUGCGUGGUCUCUUUCGAUUCUCUCGGGGCAACUUUCUAUCGCGCAUGCACCUCCCUCGAUCUCCCACCCAUAUAGUCCCCUCAUGAUCUCAAGGGGAUCUCUCUAUCACAAACACACCCUGUCUCUCCCUUCCCAUGCGUCCAUGUCCUCCUUGUGUCCCUCUCGAACUUUCUUCCUUGUUGACCAGACCUCUAUUGGACAUGUGCUACAGGGGUGUCUCUCUCCGUCGCAAACAAUCACACACUAGCUAUCUUCGUGUAUCUCCAAGCCUCGCUUUUCUAUCUUGGAGAUGCAUGCGUGAUAUGUUCGCAUAAGAAACGAAAAAACACACAGCCUCUCUAAUUUAUCGUUUGUUGUUACUUUCUCUUUCACGCACAUACUCUUUUUGCACACUUACUCAUUCUCCUUCACACCCACUUGAUCUGUCUCAACUUAGGCACUCUCCUUGGUCCAUAGCAUAUAGAUUUAUUGAAAAGUCAAACAUCACAAAGUUUGACCAUGUACGUGGAGAAAAACAAUUACAUCUAGAACGACAAACAUAUACCAUUAGAUUCACCAUGAGAUGUAGUUUUGUAUGAUGUAUCUUUGGUAUUGUAGAUAUAAAUAACAUUUGCGUAAACCUGAUCAAGGUUUCCAAAAUUUGACUUCUAAAAAAUUUACAUGCACUGCAUUAUCGAGCGGAUGGAAUAUCUCUUUCCCCAUCUCAGCUAUCUGACGCACCACUCAGCCUUAUCGGGGAUCCUCAAUCUCUCUCAAACUUUAUUAGUCAGUUUGGUUCGUGACCUGAGCCUCAUGCCUUGAUGGCCAGUACUGCCUGUUGUGGACGUGAGAUGUAAAAUAUUUCUGCCUGGCCAGGCUUGUGUGGUGCUGAAGCGUUUGGUUCAUGCCUGGGUCAGGCAAAGCAUCAACGUCCCAUCAAUCAAUCCAUGCAACAAUUAUUUAAUGCUAAUAUCCAUCCAGGUUGCUGUUAGCCUCGUGGCCGCACGACCAGGCACGGCCAGGCAUUCGAAAUCGGUUACCUGGGCUAGGCUACUUGCAGUGUCUGGAGUCCAGCCAGGCUAAUUAAAGUGCAAGGGAAUCCAGGCCAGGCGGGCUUUCUUUUUCACAGGGUAGCAACCAAACAAGCAUGCAUGAAAUCCAGCCACAACCCUAGAAUAGGCAAAAGAUGCUCAGGACGCAAGCCAAACUGACCUUAUAUCUCCUUGGUUCACACAUACACAUGUCUCGCUUGUGCUAUACAUAUAGACCCAUCCAACACUCUCCGCCCUUGUUCUCUCUCCAUGUGACACGCACCCCCCUAAGUACCAUAAUCCCUCACUCCAUCAUAGGCGCAAGCACUCCUCCCCCCUCCUAAGUAUGAUUAUCUCUUAAUAGCCAUCAGGAACACACAUAUUGUCUCCUUCCAUCCAUACGUCUAUCUCAAUAUCUCUCGGGGCAUCUUCUAUCAUGCACACACCUUGUCACUCGAUCUCCCACCCAUGUAGUCCCAUCACGAUCUCCAGGGGAUCUCUCUAUGACAAACAUACACUCUCUCCUCCCCAUGUCUGUAUUUUCUCCGUACGUCUCUCUCGACCUCUCUCCCUUGUUUAUCAUACCCCUCUUGGCCACGUGCUAUGGGUCUUGCUCUCUCGGUUCCAAACAACCACACACUAUCUCCUCACCUUGCCUCCGUUGUCGAAGAUGCAUGUGAGAUAUGUUUGCAUAAGACACGCAUGCUUUUUCUCUACUUUUGUCGUGUGUUCUCCAUGUCUCUUUCACACACGCACACACACUUUUUCACUCACUCUUUGUGUUUCUCUCUCUCUCUCUCUCUCUCUAGUUAGGGAGUCUGUCACGUCCAUAAGCAUAUGGAUGUUUUGAAAAGUCAAACCUCAGAAAAGUUUGACCAGGUAUAUGUGGAGAAAAACAUUUAUAUUUGGAACGAUCAUUAGAUUCAUCACAACAUGUACUUACUUCAUACUAUCAUUUAUCUUUGGUAUUGUAGAUAUAAGUAAUUUCUUUAUAAACUUGGUCAAAGUUUCAAAAGUUUGACUUUAAAAAAAAUGUUGGAACUACAUUAUUGAACGGAGGGAGUAGCUCUUUCUCUCUCUCUCCCUCUCUCUCUCUCUCUCUCUGCUAUCUCUCACGGGCCUCCCCUCUCACUCGAACUCUCUAUACCGACGGAUUAUAUGCUCACUGUGUCAGCGUAUAGCUCCGUAUAUUGUUUAGUCGACCGUCAACCAGUCCACAUGCUGCCUUGUCAGCUCGUGUUCUGUAUCUUCAUGUGCUGGCCCAUGUGGCAGUGGGUGAAAAUAAGUAAACUAGAGGCCCAUUUGACAUGCGGUGAAGUAAACAAAGUUGAAACCACUCGGGGUAGCACCCCGCACGCUAGUAAAUUGAGGGCCCAUUGAGGACACACUUCUUGCGCGUGAAGGACGCACUCGUGCACAAUUCACCACUGCACGGCGGCAUGCAUAGAAGGGCGCACUCUCGCACACCCAGCACACGUGUACACCGGCGUCGCCGCCGGUUGAGAUGGACGGCGAGGAAGCCAACAAGAGGAGGCAGAUUGAGCCAAAACAGCAUCCGGCAAGCCUGGACUUCAUCAGCAGCCUCCUCGACGACAUGCUGCUCGUCAUCACCGGCGUCCUCCCCACCAAAUCUGCCGUGCGGACCGACCUGUUCUCCCGGCGGUGGCGCUCCCUCUGGCGCCGCGUCCCCCUCAACCUCACCGUCGGCAUCUGCCUCAGCAAUGGGGAUUGCAAAUGCUUGGCCGCGGUCUCCAAGAUCCUUUCAUCGCACCCUGGGCCAGCCAGACGCCUUGACAUCCGCAUGUUCAGUACCAACUACAAGGUCCAACCCAAGUUCUACGAGUGGUUCUUAUCCCCCGCCCUAGAUCAGCUUGAGGAGCUCACCUUUGAAGCUGGACGAUAUCGCUCUCUGCCGCCGUCCGCGCUUCGCCUCACGCCAACGCUGCACCGUGCCAGCUUCAGCUCCUGCUAUCUUCCCCAGAUUAAUAUCGCGCCCGCCCUUCUUAUCCCUCAACUCAAGCAGCUCGACCUCUUCGAUGUUGUCAUCUCGAAGAAGGCUAUGGAGCACCUGGUCUGCAGCUGUACUACGCUCGAGUUCCUUCGCCUUGAGCAGAUCCACGGGUUCAUUAGCCUCCACAUCGCCUCGACGAAUCUCCGAUGGAUUUAUGUGUCUUGCUGGCCCCGCAACAAGACAUCAAUUGGAAAGAGAUCACUCCAGCUGUUCCAUGUUAUGGUCAUUGAGAAUGUGCCUUUCCUUGAGAGAUUGCUUGUAUCGGAUCUAGAAGGUCCAACAAAAAUCAGGGUUAUUGACGCGCCGGAAUUGAUAGCAUUGGUGCACUCGUCUGCCAAAUUCUCUGAACUCUUUAUUGGAUCUGUAAUCGUUCAGGUACAACACUCAUCUUCUUCUCCGUCUUCUUGAAAUUCACAUUUUAAAAUUUCUUCUUGAUGUAUUUACGACCGUCUUCCAGAAAAUGAUUCCCACAAGCUUGACCCAGUCCAUGCGCACAGUGAAGAUCUUGGCACUAAAAUCUAUCGGCCCCAAUCUGGAUCAAGUUGUUGGAUUCCUUACAUGCUUUCCGUGCACGAAGAAGCUACUCAUUGAGGUGAAACUUCUUUCCUAUUAGUAAACGGUAAUCACAACGUAGCUCAAUUUUUUCGUCAUUUUCCCAAAUUACGAUGACAAGUGUAGUGUUCAAAACUGCAUCUACGCACUGCACCGAAAGAAAUGCUUUUAGUAUUUUUUUUCUCACGUGAUCACCUGCAUCGUUUUUAUGUUGUACUAGUAUAGUUGCCUAGGCUAGUCAUAGUGGAAAGUAACUUAGACUACUCCAGUAACUCUAUGGUUACCCUAAGAGCAAGUACUACCUCCGUCCUGGUUUAGUCUUCCAAUUUUGUAGUAUCAAAAUUUGACCAUAGAUUUAACUGACAAAAUGUUAAUGCAUGUCACUAAGAACUAUAUCGUUGGAUUCGUAUUUGAACAUAAUUUCAAAUGGUGUAAUUUUUAUUGACAUGCAUUGGCAUUUUCUUAGGUAAAUCUAUGGUCAAAAUUUUAUACUAAAUACGAGGUAGUAUACAAAAGUGGGCUAUGUAGGCCAAAACACGUGCCAAAUUCACUUGUGAUGCAUUUGGCAUCGAUGCCCCUCCAUUGCUCACCUGGUGCCCCAAUCUGGAUCACCUACUUUGCUUUGAUGCCAAAUUAACACGCAAUGAAAAAACACUGCAUGGGAGAGAGAGAGGACUGAGGCAAUAAAAAACACUUGUUUGAGAGAGUGAGAGGCUAGUGUAGUUGGUUUGAUUGAUUUGUUUACACAUGUGGGUCUGUGUGCACAGCGGUGCCAACUCUCUCACAUCACGAGAGCGGUGCCAAAAUCUUUUAAUUUGACAUCGAUGUGUAUUAUGUGGCAUACUUUUGUGAAAUAUGGCAUCGGCCACAUAGUGGAAGGCAAAAAAUGCUCAAGCUCUUCACGUGCUCCUAGUUAAAUGAGAGCAAACAGAAAGAGAGAGAGAGAGUGAAAAAAUAUCACUAGCCAGCCAACCCUAUCGUAUGAGCGAAUGAUAUUGGUACCUCUUGAUGAUACGGCAAUCUUAUAUAGCCAGCUGCUCUAAUAUGUUCUCUUCUUUUGCAGAUAAAAAAAGACCCGAAAGUGAAAAAUUUGCUGCACUAUAACAAUCUCAUCGAAUGCCUUGAUCUCCAUCUUACAGAAAUUGAUUUGAUCGACUACCGAGGCAGCACAUCUAAGAUUAAAUUGGCCAGGUUCUUUGUUCUGGAGGCAAGUGUGCUCAAGGUAAUGAGGUUUGGCGUUCUUUGGUGCCACAAUGAAUGGCGUGCUGAUCACCGGAAGCGUCUAAGACUAAAUGACAAAAUCUCCGCAGAAGCUGAAUUUGUUUUUGAAACAUCAAGUGGCCAGACACUCAAAAACUUAUUUGCCCAUUAGUGACUUGUCAGGGUGGUGGAUUUUAGUUUGUACGAUAAUGCUGCAUCCACCUACAGUAACAAAAGUUCUUACGUAAACUUCCUAGUAAUUCCUUCUUCGUAGGUGCAGCAUUACUCCUAACAUUUGUAAUAUUAGUUUGAAACUUGUAACAUUGCCGUGUCCUAUUCCUGCGUUUUCAAAAUCCUGCGAAUCAAACAGGUCCUGAGUUGAUGAUGUUGUGCCUCCCAUCUUUCACCAAUAGCCGUCGGAUCUAGAUGUGACGCAUACAAACCAAACUUCUCCAUUUUUGCAAAAAGAUGCCCGCACUUGUUCCCUAUUUACAAACAACUCCUUGUCUCUCACAAUUAGCCUUAUCUCCUCCCCACCACAUCUAGAAGGCUAUGGAAAAAUCUGGCGCGAUGGCCGCUGUCGGCGCCGUCCACCCCCAAUCUUGGUGUUCCGUGCAAUGCACGGGCAUCUACGCACGGGAAAUUAUGUCGAACAUGGCUAGUUGUAAGCAGACUAGCUCUACAACCAUGAUGAUAGUGACUGCAGACGAUGAGGCUGACUAUGGUAUGCCGAACACGGCGCCUAUACUCAGGUGUCAUCUCCGGCGCGGGGUUUUGUCACUUCACUGUGAGGAGCAGCACGUAAUAAUUUGACCAAUGGGUAGUAUAGUGCUAGUACUCCUACUACAUUGGUAGUACUACUACUAGUACUAGUAGCACCACCGUCUGGAUUUAGGAGUACUACCACGUCCAUCAGGAUUUUAGUAUUUGACUAGCAAUAUCUAGUAAUGCAUGUCACAAAAAAUGUACUACUCCCUCUGUAAAUAAAUACAUGGUGUAUUGUUUUAUUCCUAUCGGCGAGAGAACUUAAUGUCUUUUUGCUAACUAAUAGGAUUACAUGCAAUGAACUAAACACAGCAUGUCAUGUUUGGUAGUCUCAAGUCAUUGAAAGCAUGCACGGCCCACAUCUCUCAUUGGUUGAUAUGUCAUGAGAUAAGAAACGAGGAGGGAGUUAAUGUACUGUGCCUAAGUGUUUUCAGAUUAUUUGGUUUUCGUAAGGUGACUUACACAACAUUUUGUUUACAUGCAUUAACAUUUUAUUAGUUAAAUCAAAGGUCAAAACUUGGCGCAAAAUGCAAAGGGGACCAAUAAACCAGUAAACAUCAAACUUCUCUUGUUUGGUGCCAACUAGAGGUCCGGUGAGAUGACUAUACUACACUGGCACGGAGGGGGACGCAACUUCAUUGACUUACUGCAACUGCCUUUGGGAGAAUGACAUGUGGGCCCAAGGGGUGGCUGGCCCACCUAUCAUACAACCAAAGGCAGGUGCUGUAGAGGGACGAGGAGUAGUACGAAAUCCUACGCAUGCUAACCAAGGGCAAGAGUGAUCACUUGAAUCGCAAGAUCAGUUGACUAGAAGCUAAGCUAUACCCAUGGAGGCGAUGAGCACGAGCAUUAGCCGGCUGUGCCAGAUGGUCCAUGACGCCGGCCUGCGGCUCGGCACCAAGGAACGGCUCCAGGUAUUGUUUGAGGCCGCCAGGGUGAGGGGCCGCUUGGAUGACAGCUUCGUCUCCUUGUUCGACGAGGUCCUCGUCGGUUUCCUCGACAAGUUCACCAUCGUCAAGAAGCUCGCGGACGACUUUGACGUACGCCUCCAGCCGACGCGCCCAGGCUCUGCGAUGCCCGCCACCCUCAACGGCCACUAUGGUGACAACCUCUUCGAUGCACUAGUGGCCCUGCGACUACUCGCCGUCGCGCCGGACAAUGUCCACCUCGAGGUCGCACUCGCCACGCAACGCCUGGCGCAGCAAGACACCAUCAACAUAAUCACCCACGUCUACGUGCAAAUCAUCCACAAGGACUACUACAUGCAAGAGGAGGACGGUAGGACGCUGGCCUUCUUGGACGGCAGGGCAACCUUGGACGGCAUUGUUCAGAAGCACAUUGAGCUCGCCGCCAACACCGCUGCUCCUCACACGUCGGUUGGUGACCCGGCGCACUAGGGCGUGAGGAUGUCGUUGAUGGAUCCGUAUGUAUUUUUAUCUUUCCGUCAAAUCCAUGUAGUAGUAUAUGGUACUACUAGUAAUUAUCUAACCUUCCGCAUCAACUUGAUAAUUUUUGUACGUACUCCAUGCAUGAACAGCGCCAGAACCAAACUUCUCAUUACUCUAGGCAAAAUCGUUAUUUUCUAUCUAUCGGUCGCGCCAUGGAGCGGAACCAAAUUUUACAAGUUACGAGUUCAAAAGGAAAAGCAUGCCAUGUUCGCGUCGCACCCCCACACGGUUGGUCCGGCACGCCGCUCAAGGGGGAAUGCGUGCGGUUUUGCAUUUUCACUUACAAUUGGGACCGCAGUUGAGAAAACCAACUAUCGGCAAACCCCCACUCCACCCACCGUGCGAUGGCUGAGAAAACAGGAGGGAGAAGAGAUGGUUGUAGCAUGGACUCCAAGAAAAUUGGUGUCGGAUGGGACUCGUGUGGGUGGCGUGUGUCGUACUGCUAGACGUGAAUGCUAGUUAUGGCCCAUGCCACCCCACUAUAUCGAGCCUAUAUCGAGGUACGUAGAACAAAUUUCCUGGAGUCCGUGCUCAGCCCUCCUCUAUCUCUCUUCUCAGCCCGCCAGCGGACGCGCGGAGCCCAUCGUCUGUUUGCUCACAUGCGGUCCCACAUGUCAGUGAAAACGCAAGAGGACCCAUUGAAGCUGCACAUCUUUCACCUCGACAUGCUGGUGAUGAAAAACAAAUCCAAUAAAGAUCUUCGGUGGCCGCUUUUGGAGUUACUCAAGAGUAGUAAGAUUCUAUUUACAGUUUAACCCAAGAUGCACAUCACGUGGCUUCAACUACCACUCUAUUUUCUUGUGUGACACGACCUGUAAUGCUGGAUGUCCCACGUGUCGGCAAAAGGAGGAAGAACCCGACCAAAUCUUCGGUUGUGCUCUCGGAUUAGACUAGUUGUGCUAACUUAAAAAAAUUAUUGUGUGGAAUGGAUGCAAGUUUUGGUAUUGGGAAGAAGAGUACAUCGAUAUAUUGAUAGAGCGCAAUUUAGUAGAUGUUCUAGCACUUUUAGCUAGCAUAGAGGCUAGAGAUGAGACUAGUGCACUUGUUGAUACUCCUACUAGAAUAGAGGCUAGACAUGAGACUUGAUGCGAGGAAGCAACGUCUACUUCUUUACACUCGAAAAAGAAAGAAGCACGCAAGAUCGAGCCUCCGCAAAUCAAGAAUGAAUGCAUCGAGAAGGCACUAAUCCAACUUACAGGAGCAGUUAUGGAAGUUGGAUAUCUUCUAAAAUCUAUUCUUGUGGUUCUUGUUUUAUUUGGUCUUGCUUUUCUAGUCAAAAUUAUCGUUGGAGUUCAUGCAAAACGGAGGUCUGUUUGGGGUCGUGCGUUGGAGUUGGCCUAACAAGUGGGACCGCAGUUGAGGAAACCAACUAUCAGCAAACCCCCACCUCGCCCGACGCGUGAUGGCUGAAGUUAGAGAAACGAUGAGGUUGAAGAGAUUGCUCUAGCACGGACUCCAAGAAAUAUGGUGUCAGAUGGAUGUCGUGCUGGUGGCGUGUGCCGUACUCCUGGACGUGAAUACUUGUUCUGGCCCAUGCCACCCUACUACUCCUACUACUUAUAUAGUACUCCUACUAGUAGUAUCGAGGAUUCGAGGUGCUGGUUACGUACAGCGAACACUAACAUAUGGCUAUAGUAAAAACACCCGCCCGACGCACGAAGCAUGUGAAGAUAGUACAAAUAGUGUACUACUAUUGUUGAUUGGCCUCAUCCGAUAACCUGUUGCAAUGCACGUAGAAUUAUGUAUUCGAAAAAUAUUUUUUUCCUCGUCGCACCACUCACUCAGAGAAGCGACUCGAAAGUCAUUCAUAAAUUUAGUAAGAUUAUCACAGGCAUAUCAUUUUAUUACAUACAACAGGUCAUCAACCCACAUCGACAACGAGGAUAUAUUAUAACUACUGAAUUUUUCAUCACACAACAAAUAACAACAAUGAAAUGAACUUCAACUCAACCAAUCCUCGGCAUUGGAAAUGCUUGCUUUGAACUACAAGUGAUUCUCUGGACGGGCCAUCUAUUGUCAAUCUGGAGACCAACGCAGGACUGAUCGUCCAGGCUGAAGCAGCCUACUAUAUCAGUACCAGGGCAGGGAACCACCCAAAUGUCCGAGGUAUAGAUAUAGUUGCUUCUCAUAAAUGGUACUAGUAAUGUUGUGUCAACAGCAGUUGGAUCGCCUUUCACCAUCACCGGAUAGUUUUGUCCAAGGAAGAGCGAGUUUUCUCCAAGACUAUCAAUUUUGUACCAGGGAGAAGGUGUUGGUGCUAGCACACUAGUAUCCAUCCCGAAUACCAUGCAACGAGUGUUGGAAUAGGUCCGGAGAGUGCGACCAUGGGAGACAACACGUGCUCCCUCAGUAGUAACAAACUCAGUGCGCUGUAUACAGACAAGAAGAGGUGAUCCAUUGGAAUUAGUUGCUAGGCGCCACUGAGUAUAUAAGUUCUGCUCGUCCUCAUGCUCGUGAUCAUCACCAUCGUCAUCUCCCCCUUGGUUAUAAAAAUUUUCAAGUAUAGGUGGUGGAAUGUUCAUAGGACCUUGGAAACACAAGAAGAAGGUUAAUUAGUAAAGGGAAACUUGAUAACCCGCAUGCAUGCGGAUUAAACAAUUAUAAUUACCGUGGAAGACAAACGUGCCGAAACUACGAGGAUCCCAUGCAAAAACAGUGCCAUGAGUGGUGGAAGCAAACACAAGACCCUCGUAUUGAAUUGCAUCACAAUACACAUCCAUGUAUAGAAACUGAUUUUUGAGCAAUAUCCAUCGAGUCGGACCACAAAGUACGGCAACAAGCUUGUCGAAGACAGCAACAACUUCAUAGUUCUUGUAAUUCCAAGAGCGGUUGGGAACUCGAAAAAUUGCUAUCUUCCGUAGAAGACAGUCACCAUGACGUAUUUGAACGUGCAUACAAUACCGGUGUGCUCAACCUCUGGACAGUCUGCUGACAUUUUUCGAAGUGGAACCCGGUGACGAUGUACACAUUCACAAGUUCCCACUCGCAGUUGUACCCAAUAUAAACAACCCAAUAUCCAUUUGCGCCUCCCUAAUCCUUGCCCUCAAGCGAUGGCAUCUUAACAUCAUAUGUAUCAUUAUCAAGCGGCAUCAACUUGCACAAGGCGAGGCCUCUGUCGUCCCCGCGCUAGUCAUCAGGGUCACGGCAAAGAAGAUAGGGGAGAUCAAACCGCUCCUUGACCCUUGGGUUCCUUGUAAUGAUGUUAUUAGUUGAGUCGAGAAUGGUCUUGAACGAACCUGCCAUGCUAGCCGAGGUGAUGACGUUGCACCGAUCAAUGAGUUCCUCCACCAUGUCAUCUUUCAGAUCGGGGCAAGAAUAAUGGGGUCGUUUCCGGCCUGUUCCCUCCAUGGAGAAGACGAUCUAACAAUGGCAGAAGGAAGGGUGAAGGCAAAUGGAGGAUGGAGAGGAAGAGCAUGCGACAGCAGUUCCAAAUCAAUAGGGAAAGGCGAAGAGUCGGUGGACGGUUGCCAGUUUCCCACGGUACACGAAGAGGCGCCCCGGCCUACACGUCUGUUCGGAAAUACUAGUAGAAAAGGACUCGUCGUCGUCUCACUGACAUGUUGGAAUGGGACCACAUGUCAACGAAACAUGGUGUGUAAUUUCUCGUGCAAAAUGUGAUAUGGCCGCGUUGGCCCGAGGUGCCACAUUAGUUAUCGACCUUUAUUUUUUUAAUGGCGUGCCGUUCAGUUUUGAAGCACGACUAACUGGUACUAUGCGCAGAGAAAAUAUAAACUACUCUACCACUACUCCACCUCCAGUACUAGUAGUAUAAAAAAGAUAUAUAGGCUGGAGCUUCAGCGCUUUCUUGCUAAGGGCUGCCCACUUGCUUCUCACACUAUCACCCUCUCUCUAGAUCUAAAAAGACGGCCUCUCUCUCCCUCCUCACCGGUGGUCACAGAUCCGUCGGGGAAGAAAAGGACGUGCAACAUUGACGCACUCGUCGUCGGUGAGCGAGGUCACGCACCGACGACAGGGCCGUCCUCUCAGACCUAGCGCCCGCGCGAGAUGGUCUCCGUCCCGAAGCUCGCUGUCGUAGUGUGUGCGGAGGACGACGACCACAAGCGAAGCCACUUUCCGCCGACCCUCAGGUAUGCUACCGCUUUUCGAACCAUACCCUUGUUCUAUUGCCCCAUCUGCCACGUCGUUGCAUGUGGAUCUUUUUCCACUCCACCAUCUUCCCAGUUUGCUAUCCUCUGCUCUGCUGGCCAUGCAGACGAAAACCAUAAUUUGCACUAUUAAAGGAAACCCUACUUCAUGCAGACUAAUCCGUGUCUGGGUUGAAAAAGGAAAGGAAGGGAGACUUUACUGUCCAAGAGAGUAGGCAUCGAACCCGCAUCUAGGUUGAAAAGGGGAAAAUCAGUAGCUAAGGAACGAGCCUCGUAUCUCUUGGUUGAAGAAGGGUAGAAAGGCAUGACAACGCAAUAGAGAAUGACCAGGUCAAUCGGUUUGUUGUCCUCACAUAGGAAAAAGGUGGCUAAAGAGAACAAAAAUGGGACGUAAUCCACAUAUGCUGCCUGGAUAUUUGUUGCUCUGAGCAACCAUACCUCCUUCACCACUCUGCGUCCGUGGAGGUACAUCGUACUGGUGCGCCCACUGUCCGAAUGGGCCUCCCAUGCUCUUAUUGCCACUUUUUUGCUGUUAGUAUAACGCCAGCAGUCAAGUCAAGCAAUGCUACUGCUAAAGUGAUGCCACAUUUAACUAAUGUCGCUCUCAGUCUAAUGCCACCGAUACAUUUAAGCAAUGCCAUUUAAUGUCACUGGAUUAUUUCAGGGUUAGCCGUUGAUUGCACAGCCAGUAUACCAACGAUGAAACUUGUUACUACCUUCAGAUUUUUGCACUAGUAAUGCUUAUAGAUUACAUACCUCACUUUCAUGAAAUAAGUUAAUUUUUUUGUACAGUGUCACCAAAAUGCCAAGGCGCUGAUGUCAUUUUAUUUUGGUUAAACUGCACAAAAAAUUAUGAAGACAAGAGGAAAGGUCAAGAGUGGGCACCUCCUCCUCCGGCUGUUCUCUUGAUUCGUUCGAUCAAGUUUUUAUGUUUGAUCGACUAUCAAGAUUGGGAUAGCAAUUUUUUAGGUCCCCACGAGUUCGAAAUGAUAUUUACCUUGGAGGUACAUGGUUUGCAAUUUUUUUAUACUGUCAUUAGUUAAUAAUGCUAGUUACCUUCAGACUUUUGUAUUUGGUUUAAUGCUCAUGCACAGCUAGUAUACCAAUGUUGAAACUUGUUACCUUUACAUUUUGUAUUAUUAAUUCUUAUAGAAAUCUUCCAGUGCUAGAGUUUAUUGAAAUAUGUUCAGUUAAACCAUUGUACUGUACCCUGUAACUAACUACUCUACUGUUGCACUAGCCAAUGGAUCAGUGUAUAUUUGUAGUAUUCGAAUGGUGUUGCAUCAGCGUAUGGACAUAAAUAAAGUGUGGCAAGCUUUCCCAGAUAUGUGCUCAGGAAAACUACUACCUGUUUUUCUAAAUACUAGACGUUUGGGUACUUUAAAUUGAACCGGCGAAACAUCUUAUAUUCAGGAACAGAGGGUAUAGAGUUCACUCAAAUUAUCCCGGUAAAGCUAGUCACACCUUUGUUAAAAUUAAUGUUGAUUAUGUUAUCGGAGGAGGUCUGUAUGUUUGUCUCUAAUGCCUGUCGACUACAUACCUAACAUCAUGAUGUAAUGUUAAGUCAUUUCCUUUUGUAUAGUGUCACUAAAUUGUCAAGUUGGUGAUGGCAUUUUAUUUUAGUUGAACUGCACAAAAUAUGCUUAAAAGAAGAGGAAAGGUCAGAAGUCGAUCAUUCUUUCAAAAAGAACUAUAUAUGCCUUUCUGAUAUCAGUUGUUGUUGCCUUAUUUAUUCCUUCAAACAGGUGGUUAGAAACAGUCUUGCUACCUUUUCCAUUAAGAAAUUGGAAUGCUUAUAUUUGUGAGUCUAUGCUUCAACUAGUGUCGUUUUUACAGUAAUCACACUUUCAAUAUAUAUGCAAACAGGGAUGCUCGAUUUUAGUGGAACUGCACAAAAAGUCCAACUGGCUGAGGGUAUGUACCAGUUCCGGCACCCUGUCGAAGGGGGAAUCCAUCACCGGUGGCCAUCUUCAUCAUGCCGGCGCUCUCCAUGACGAGGAGGGAGUAGUUCACCCUCGGGGAUGAGGGUAUGUACCAGUAGCUAUGUGUUUGAUCUCUCUCUCUCUCGUGUUCUCUCUCGUGUUCCCUCUAUGGCACGAUCUUGAUGUAUCCCGAGAUUUUCUAUUGUAGUUGGAUCUUAUGAUGUUUCUCCCCCUCUACUCUCUUGUGAUGAAUUGAGUUUCCCCUUUGAAGUUAUCUUAUCGGAUUGAGUCUUUUAUGAGAACACUUGAUGUAUGUCUUGCCGUGUUUAUCUGUGGUGACAAUGGGAUAUCAUGUGCCACUUGAUGUAUGUUUUGGUGACCAACUUGCGGGUUCGGCGCAUGAACCUAUGCAUAGGGGUUGGCACACGUUCUUGACUCUCCGGUAGAAACUUUGGGGCACUCUUUGAAGUACUUUGUGUUGGUUGGAUGAAUCUGAGAUUGUGUGAUGCAUAUCGUAUAAUCAUGCCCACGGAUACUUGAGGUGACAAUGGAGUAUCUAGGUGACAUUAGGGUUUUGGUUGAUUUGUGUCUUAAGGUGUUAUUCUAGUACGAACUCUUGAAUAGAUUGAUCCGAAAGAAUAACUUUGAGGUGGUUUCCUACCCUACCAUAAUCUCUUUGUUUGUUCUCCGCUAUUAGUGGCUUUAGAGUGACUCUUUGUUGCAUGUUGAGGGAUUGUUAUAUGAUCUAUCUAUGUUAUUAUUGUUGAGAGAACUUGCGCUGGUGAAAGUAUGAACCCUAGGCCUUGUUUCUUAUCAUUGCAAUACCGUUUACGCUCACUUUUAUCAUUAGUUACCUUGCUGUUUUUAUUAUUUCAGAUUACAAAAACCUAUAUCAACUAUCCAUAUUGCACUUGUAUCACCAUCUCUUCGCCGAACUAGUGCACCUAUACAAUUUACCAUUGUAUUGGGUGUGUUGGGGACACAAGAGACUUUUUGUUAUUUGGUUGUAGGGUUGUUUGAGAUAGACCAUCUUCAUCCUACACCUCCCGCGGAUUGAUAAACCUUAGGUCAUCCACUUGCGGGAAAUUUGCUACUGUCCUACAAACCUGUGCACUUGCAGGCCCAACAACGUCUACAAGAAGAAGGUUGUGUAGUAGACAUCAAGCUCUUUUCUGGCGCCGUUGCCGGGGAGGUGAGUGCUUGAAGGUAUAUCUUUAGAUCCUGUAAUCGAAUCUUUUUGUUUCUUGUUUUAUCACUAGUCUAGUUUAUAAAAGAAAAUUACAAAAAAAUGGAGUUAAGUUUGUCUCAUACGCUUCGUCUUUUUAAUAUCUUUCGUGAGUAUGAUGGAAAGGAAAAUUGUGCUCAAGUGCUAGAAGAAGAGUGCAUUAAAAUGCUUGAUACUAAAUCUUUGAAUGAUGAGCAUGAUUGCAAUAUUGUUAGUAUAAACUCCUUGAAUAGCCAUAGUAUUAAUGAUGAUUGCUCUAGUCAUGAGGAAAAUAUCUCUUAUGAGCAUGUCAACUUUUAUGGAGUACAUGUUUGCAUGAACACACCAAAUAGAGAAGAUAUUUAUUGCAAGAGGCAUAAGCAUUUAGAAACUAAAUGGUUGCAAGAAAGGCUAGAUGUGAGUGCUAAAAAUUUAAAAUUCCUUUGCCGUACUUGCGAACUUUGCAAUGAACGUGGUCAUUUACAUCUCCAAUGCAAAUUGUUUCAUGACUGAAUCGUGUCCAAAAAUUGUGAUGAUUUGAUUUCCCUUGCACAUUAUAAUGAACUUAGUUUGUUUUUGGGUUAUGAAGAGUUGAAAUGUUUAACUAAGCCUAUUCCAGAAUUUAAUCUUCAGCAUUUCCUUGAUAUUGAUCAAGAAAAGAUUUAUAUGUUUUGUGCGGAGAAUUGCAUUGAAAAUCCUUAUAUUGCCAAUUACCUAAAGAAAAGAAAGCAAAUAGAAGAUGAUGAGAAUACUAAUGAAAGGGAAGAGACUUCCCAAUAUCCUCCUAUUAUUUCUUGUGAUGAAUUAGGUAACGAGGAGGAGCUUUCUAUUCAACCAAUCUCGUCAACAUGGUGCUCAAAGAGGAAGGUUGAACCCACACAUAUUGUGAAGAAGAAAAACAAAAGAAGGAGCAACAAAGGUAGAAAGGUAUCCCUCCCAAAUGAUAUUGCUCCUACUACUCAUUGUGAUGAUGAUAAUUGCUAUACUAUUGGUGCUAUCAAUAUUUUUAAUGAUGAGAGUGAUUAUGCUUAUGAUAUGAAAGGGCCCAAGCUUGGGGAAGCUAUGUUUGAUGAGGAUGAAAUAUUUGAGAAUUUAUUUGCUGAAAUUAAUGUUUAUCCCAAGCUUGGGGAUGCUAUGUUUAAUGAAGAUGAUACUUUUAGCAUCCCAAGUUUUGAUAUGCAAAGUCGUUAUGAUGAUAGCAUGCCUCCUACUUAUGAUGAUUAUAUUGAUGAAAGUGGGUUUGGAAGAGUGUCAACUUUAGGAAGUAGUGAUCCCACUAUUUUGUAGGAUGUUGAAUUUUAUUGUGAUGAAUACGAAAGUGGAUUUGGAAGAGUGUCAACUUUAUUUAGUGAUUCCACUAUCUUGGGAGAGGUUUCAAUCGAUUAUGAUGAGAACGAAGUUGCUACUUAUGAUGAUUAUUGUCAUGAAACUUAUGCUAUAAAAAGUAGUGAUGAUUAUAUUUAUAAAACUUGUCAUGAUUAUGAUUACCCUUUUUCUGAACAUUACUCUUUUAAUGUGCAAACAAUUUUUAGUGUUCAAGUCUCUUAUGAUACUCCCGCUAUUCCGAAUGAGAAGAAUUUUGCUUAUGUGGAGAGUAGUAAAUUUUCUAUGCUUGUAGAUCAUGAAAAGAAUGCUUUAGAUGUUGGUAUAUUGUUGAAUUCAUUCAUGAUGCUACUGAAAAUUAUUAUGAGGGAGGAACAUAUGCUUGUAGGAGUUGCAAUAAUGUCAAAUUUCCUCUCUAUGUGCUUCAAUUUUUGAACUUAUGCUUGUUUUACCUUCCUAUGCUAGUUGAUUAUUGUUUCCAUAAGUUGUUUGCUAACAAAAUCCCUAUGCAUAGGAAGUGGGUUAGGCUUAAAUUUGCUAGUCAUAUGCUUCAUGAUGCUCCUGUUAUGUUUCAAUUCUUAUCUUUUAUGUGAGCAUCAUUGUCUUCAUCGUGCCUAGCUAGAAAGGCAUUAAAGAAAAGCGCUAGUUGGGAGACAACCCAAUGUUUAUCCUUACUGUUUUUGUGUGUCCACAUGAUUAUGCUACUGUAUUAAUCAUGUUUUAUAUCUUUUGUUUCAAUAAAGUGCCAAGUAAGACCUUUAGGAUGGCUUACAGUAAUAGUUGUGUUGAUCCUGCUGAAAAUCAGAAACUUUUGCACCCAGUAAAUUAGUUUUGUUAUCUCAAAGAAACGUGCUUCUGAUCUGAUUCUUUUUGCUAUGGAUUGGUACGCAAAUUGCUUAGGACUUCCUAAUUUGGUAGGAAUUUUGGAGUUCCAGAAGUAUACAUUUGAUACAGAUUACUACAGACUGUUCUGUUUUUUACAGAUUCUGUUUUCUAUGUGUUGUUUGCUUAUUUUGAUGAAUCUAUGAGUAGUAUCAAAGGGUAUGAACCAUAGAUAAGUUGGAGUAUAGUAGAUAUUACACCAAUAUGAAUUUAGAAUGAGUUUAUUACAGUAACUAAGUGGUGGUUUUAUUUUCUUAUACUAAUGGAGCUUACGAGUUUUAAGUUGAGUUUUGUGUUGUGGAGUUUUCAAGUUUUGGGUAAAGAUUCGAUGGACUAUGGAAUAAGGAGUGGUAAGAGCCUCCUGCAAAAAUUAUUUGAUCCUCUAUUCGGAUUUUCUUUCCGAACACCGGACAGAGUUUCAGGGGCUACUGUCUAUACAAUGACAUCCUUUUUGCAUAGUUGCAUUGCUUACCUCAAAGCCUGUUAGAAGGCUUGUGCAGGCUUCGGUCAGUCCGCUCUUUGCGGACUGGAUCCUCUCAAUCACCGUACCCAUAAGGGUACAGUGUUAUUCAACAAUGGAAGCGCCUCGCAGUGCUUCCAACAAAUUAUCCGGUGCCUCUGGAUGGACAGAGGUCACCGGUGGAGUAGGCGCACCUCCUUCUUUUGAAGGAGGCUGCUUGCAUGAUUCCGGAGCCGUAGAGGUCUCCGGAGUUGUAUUCAGCUGGGGGUCGAGCUGAAUAUGGCCCCAGCGCCAGUCUCCAUGGGGAUUUGCUCCCCCGUGUGUCCGGUGGCUGAGGGUUCACCCUCUGGCGCCGCCCGGACGGCCUCCUGAACCUCUCCCUGGACAGGGAUCCUUCGGGGCAACACCUCGGUGUCCUCCAUGGCCUUGGGAGAAGAGGUCGAUGGAAGGGUCCCACUGUCCAUCGCCUCCGGGUCCAGCGAAUCCCCCGAAGAUGAGGAUUGCUUGAGGUUGGACCGAGGCGGACUGCAAAUACAUGAUUCAACACGUUAAAACAAUGAAGUAGAGAGACCGCAUAUAUGAAUGUGUCCGAGUACUCACGAUUUGGCCAGGGGCUUCUCCUUGGGCCACCACUCCGAGCUCCUCUUGGUGGCUGCGGUGCAGCUGUCCGGAAGGGAAGCUUUCCCCUUCUUGGACGCCUCGGCCUCCAGACGCGUGGAGGCCGAACUUUUCUUUCUCCCCCACCCCCCUCAGGGGGAACGACUUUCUUCUUCUUCCUCCUCUUCCUCAUCUUCCGCGGCGGCGGAGGAAUGAGUCCCAGCGUCUUCGGAUGUCAUGUCCAAAGUGCCCUUGCGACGGAGACCACCUUUGGUCCCGUUGGCCCUCUUCUUGGCCUUCUUCUCCGGCACUUGAUAGGGCGCCGGAACCAGCAUCUUCGUCAGAAGUGGGAUUUCUGGGUCUUCGGGCAGCGGAGCCGGACACUGAAUCCGCUCCACCUUCUUUGUCCAGGCGUGAGAGAAUUAGUAGGGAGGCUUAGGCAUCUUCCUUGAAUAUGCAAGUAAAGGACACACCUUGAAAGCAUGAAAAACUGACCGGACUAGCUGGAUGGGCCAAGUCAUGCCCACGGUCCUCGGUCAUGGCCGACCGCGUCUCGUUGGCCUUGAGGAGCACUGUCGGUGUCAAAACCGGCGGAUCUCGGGUAGGGGGUCCCGAACUGUGCAUCUAGGCGGAUGGUAAUAGGAGACAAGGGACACGAUGUUUUUACCCAGGUUCGGGCCCUCUCGGUGGAGGUAAAACCCUACUCCUGCUUGAUUAAUAUUGAUGAUAUGGGUAGUACAAGAGUUGAUCUACCACGAGAUCAGAGAGGCUAAACCCUAGAAGCUAGCCUAUGGUAUGAUUGUUGUUCGUCCUACGGACUAAAACUCUCCGGUUUAUAUAGACACCGGAGAGGGCUAGGGUUACACAGAGUCGGUUACAAUGGGAGGAGAUCUUCAUAUCGUAUCGCCAAGCUUGCCUUCCACGCCAAGGAAAGUCCCUAUCCGGACACGGGACGAAGUCUUCAAUCUUGUAUCUUCAUAGUCCGGGAGUCCGGCCAAAGGUCAUAGUCUGGCCAUCCGGACACCCCCUAAUCCAGGACUCCCUCAGUAGCCCCCGAACCAGGCUUCAAUGACGACGAGUCCGACGCGCAAAUUGUCUUCGGCAUUGCAAGGCGGGUUCUUCUCCAGCUCCAUAUACUUGUAGAAUAGUGUCCGGCUUCUGAUAAAUGCUGCGCUCCUUGGCUUCCACGUCCAAUAAAGGCCAUCUUCCACGUGUCGAACGAAUGCGAAAAGCCAGGGUAUUUUUACAUUUCCCCCCUAGCUGCUCAAAUAAGUUGCCUAUAUAAAAAGAGACGAGGAUCUAGAUCCAAACCACACCAUCUCCCCUUCCCAAGCUUUCAUCGGAGCGCUUCUGACCAGAAAAUCCAUUCCAUCAUGGACAGCCGACGCGACUCCUCUUCUCGCGCUCCCAGCCCCAAGCCUGGGUAUUGGGAUAGAUGAUCUGUCCCGCAUAGCAAGCUAGUAGUGCUUCAAUCCAAGGGGCUACUCCCCCCGGCAUAUAUGGUCCCAGUUCGAUCCAGGAUUGUCACCUAUGGCGGCGGAGAGCAGGCGGAGAGCGUCCCCAAUCCCUCUCAAGGAGAGCGGGUGUGCCUAGUUCCUUAUUUAAUAAGGGGACUCGGAUUUCCAAUUCAUCCGUUUCUCCGAGGUCUACUGGAGUUCUAUGGCCUCCAGCUACACAACCUCACACCUGCCUCCAUACUGCACGUUGCGGGCUUUGUGGCCCUCUGUGAGCUAUUCUUGGGCGUCGAGGCCCAUUUCGCACUGUGGAAGAGGUUGUUUUGCCUUGUGCCCCGCUCUCAGGAGGGGUCAAUUUAUCAAGUGGGCGGAGCCGAACUAUGGCGCAUCACCGGGACCGGAUACCUAUCCGGUACCCCUAAGAAGGCGUCCGAGGACUGGCCUUCGGAAUGGUUUUAUAUGGAUGACGUCCCCCUGCCAGACCCUGUGCGGAUCGGCCUCCCUGAGUUUAACAACGCUCCGUUAAAGAAACACCUGAGCUGGCGCCCACGGAAUCCUCAAAGGGAAACUGACAGGGACGUCCUUUACUUGAUGAGUCGGAUAAGAUUGUUGGCUCAUUCUGGAUUGACCAUGAUCGAGGUCAUGGCCACAUGCAUCACGCGGGGGGUGCAGCCGCUUCAGUACAGAGGCCACCCCAUGUGGGAUUUCAACAGGGAGGACGACGCCACCCGGUGCGGUCGCAAGGGACCAGAUUCGGCUGCCACUCUAACGAAGAUCUUAUCCACUUUGUACAAGGGAGAAGAAGAGGAAUUCAUCCGUGUCAACCCAUGGGGCGGAUUCUCCAUGUAUAGCCCUUCGAGUUGGGUAAGCUUACACUUUCACUUAUCUACCCGCUUUCGAAAUUCCCAUAAUUGAGUACUUAGUCUGGCGAUAUUAACGCAGGAGCUACGCCAGACGGUGAAGGAGAUCAACAGCCCUCCCCCACAGCCCGAGGACCCAGAACGGCCCCUCGAUCCGGAUUCCCAAGAGGAUCCGGACUUAUGUGUGGAAUUAAUUGAUGGGGUGUUUCAUCAAUUGAGUAAGGACAACACCUUAGUGGCCAUUACGGCCGACUAUCCUGGACUACUUCCAGCGUCAAAGGUAACCAAGACCGAAGUCCCUGUACUUUGAAGGAGAUCCAUCCAUGCCUUAUUUUGAAUGCUGUAAACCAAUAGUGUUUCGUUUUGUAGGGGAAAUCCUUGAGGCGGAGUGUCGGGCCCGCGGUGGCAGCCAACAAGGCCCGCUGAAGCCAGGCGGGCCAAAAAGAAGUGUGGACCAGAUCGAAACUCCGGUGCAACGGUACGACGUGCGAAUUUAACGCCUAGGGUUUAUGCCCUCAAGUCACGCUAACGCUCAUGUUCUCCUUAGGAAGAAGAGAGCCCGCCGGACUAUAUUCACCGGCCAGACUUCAAGGCCGGGUCUGGAAGCGGAGGCGGACACGGGGCGCGCGUCGGGCGUUCCUCCGACAGAGGAUGCAGACAGGCUAUCUGCCACCAAUUCAGAGGUGGAGAGUGCCAUGAACCAUAGACAUCGCCGGACUGUUCUUCAGGACGCAUGUUUUUUUCCAGAGACAUUGAACGCCUUUAAUAUGGGAGAUGCGUACCUCCGUGCCGCUCAAAAUGGUCUAGCCAAAGCCACAGAGCAGUAUGUAAAAUACAUACGGGUGAGUAAAUCUGAUGGUUAUAUAUGUCAGUAGCCCCCGAGACUUGAAAUAGUUAAGAUAACUGUUUUAAGGAUCAUAUGUUAUGCAGGGUCUUACAGAGAAGAACACGCAACUGUCUCAGGAGCUGGCAGAGUGCAAGGCCCAACUCGAGGCCACACUGGCCGCUUCAGCUAUUGCCAAGGGAACCCCCUCAGGUAAUAUAUGCUCUCAAAAAUAAUUCCGUUGUGAAGUGCGGCAUGUGUGCAAUUCUGACGAUAACAGUGCAGAUGGGGCCGGAGUAAAUCCGGACAAGAAACAACUCCUACGCCAACUAAAGGCUGGCGAGAGCGUGCUGACAAGGGUGAGGCAAGAGAAGAACAAACUUCAAGACGCCAAUACCCAGCUGGGCGAGGAACUAAAGGAUGUUCGUAUUCAACAGUCUGCUUCCGUAAAGGAGAAUCGGCGACUUCGACGCGGCAUUUUUAGUAAGUGCUUGAACGAAUUCUCGAAAAAAAAUGGGCGAGGAAGUCGAUUGACAGAGCUAUGUCUGUAGGUCUACUGACAGAUUGUCCUGCGGAGGAAAUGCCCGAUUCAACGGGGGACCUUCUUCCCGAGCUGUUGCAACUGCACGAACGAGUUCAGCAGGCAAUGCAGGGCGUCAUCCAGGCUAUGUGGCCAUCCCUCUCCGCGCCCGAAGGCCUUGGGGAGCUUGCAAAGAAGCUGGAGAGAGUGCGGCAGCGCUUCCAGUUGUGGAAGAUAUCGUCCUGUCGUCAAGGUGCCAGGGAGGCCUGGGCCAUGGUGAAGACUCGGUACACGAAGGCUGGCCCAAACCACAUGGCCGAGGUCGGCCCUAUGGGUCCUGACGGAAAGGAGAUCCCUGUCAGUUUAGUAUAUGGCCAGGUAGAGCUGGCUGCAAAGUAUUCUCAGCAGGACUAUAAAUUAGACCACCUGUUGGAUGGUAUUGAAGAAGAAUAUACCGAGUCGGAUUGACUCUAUAAUUUAAAAUGACAUGAAAAAUGCCUUCUAGCCGGAUUGUAGAUCGUUUGUCAUUGCGGGCCUUUUCGCUUCGACCUCUGGACCCUAUAGUCCGGAGUGUGUCCGAAUACCCUCUUGAUUAUGUAAGAACCGGGGCAUGCAUGGAGACAAGGCGUAGGGGUCAUAAUUGCUUUAGCAGACAAGUGCCCAACUAGUUAUGUUAUAUUACAUGGUUAGUAAGAAACAUCUUCCAGGGAGGAUAGUUCUGUUAGGGGUUCCUUUCCCUGGGAGGCAUGCCCUAAAGUGCAUGUCCGAACUGCUAAAAAGAGCAGAAAAAUCAUCUUUUAGUUCACCGACCGAAUAUUCCCUUGAGAACGCUAGCUUUCGGCUUCACCCAGUCUGAGGUACACAUCCGGCUGACCCAGCAGUAACAAUCACAGAGGUGCUCCCUUUACCACCUAGCCGAACGAACGGGAACGUAGGGGUAAGCACAGGAGCCAGGCAACCCAGCUUGGCCAAAACUUAAGUCAUAUCAAUGCAUAUAAUGGUGUAUAAAAGGUUCAUGCGGAAGUGCCACACAUGUUUUGGGCAUGAGGCCCGUUUAUAUAAACUUCUGAUAAAGAAGCCCCCAGGUAUGAUGAGCGCGGGUGGCGCGUCAAGUAUGUGCGGACAAUGCGCAAGCAAGCCCCUAAGGGCUUGGGAGAAAAAAAGGUAGGGAGAAGGAGAGAAAUGCCAGACAGCUAAUGUGAAAAAAUAAAAAGGGGACAGAGGAAGGAGACGAACACGGAGUCCGGCGCUAGGCGUAGAAUCUUCGUAGGCGUGCUGCGUUCCAUGGGUUCGGCUCGAGUUGGUUGUCCGAUGCGUUUCGCAGAUGGUACGCUCCACCAGUCAGUACUUGGUCAAUUAUGAAGGGAUCCUCCCAUUUGGGCUUUAGUUUGUCCUUUUUCUUGUCCGGCAGGCGUAGAACUAGUUCACCAACGUUAUAAGUUUUGGCCCGUACUUCUCUGCUUUGAUAUCUUCGAGCCUGCUGUUGAUAGAAUGCGGAACGGGCUUUUGCCACGUCGCGCUCCUCCUCCAAUGCGUCCAAGCUGUCCUGCCGAUCGAGCUCGGCUUCUCUUUCUUCAUACAUGUGCACGCGAGGUGAGUCAUGAAUUAUGUCGCAGGGCAGAACUGCCUCUGCGCCGUAUACCAUAAAAAAUGGUGUGAAUCCGGUAGUGUGAUUCGGCGUGGUCCGAAGCCCCCAGAGUACGGAGUCAAGCUCCACUACCCAGUGCGUGUUAGAUUCCUUGAGGGAUCGCACUAGUCUGGGUUUGAUGCCGCUCAUGAUGAGACCGUUAGUUUGUGGGUGAUAGACUGAAGCGUAGUCGAGCUUAAUGCCCAUGUUUUUGCACCAGAGUUUAACUUCGUCGGCCGUGAAGUUUGUGCCGUUGUCAGUUAUGAUGCUGUGGGGGACGCCGAGAAGAAAACGAGAAACGUUAAUGUUUAUUUGCUAAUUAAUCGUAUUGCAUGCAAUGAACUAACCACUGCAUGUCGUGUUUGAUAUCUUAAGUCAUUAAAAGCAUGCACACUCUUUAUCUCUUAUUGGUUGAUAUGUCAAGAAACAAGAAAAGAGGUAGAAGUUAAUGCACCGUGCCUAAGUGUUUUUGGAUUAUUUGGUUUUCGUAAGAUGACUUACACACCUAGAUGCACCACGCCUAAUUGUUUUGAGUAAUAUUUUAUCAGUUAAAUCUUUGGUCAAAAUUUAGCACAAAUUACAGUGGUGAGGAAUAAACCAGGACGGAGUAGUAGUUUAGAAGCCCAAAUAAAUGAGUGAGGCGCCUUAUUGUUACUCUCCACUUUGACUAAUCUUGUGGGAAAAGCUGGGGAAGCCGCCAAAAGAACUGGCCCUAGGAGUAGUAGCUACGGAUCGAGCGUGGGAGAUGAACCGGAGAAAGUAAAUGCAGAGAAAUGAAAUGCAAAAAAGACGGAGGGAUGUGAUGGUUGCUUGUCCGUUUAUUUUACCAGGCCAUUUAUUAAUGGGAGUGGUUGGGUUUUGUGAUAUGACGGCUUUACUGCCGCGCCACGAGCGAGGUGAGAGGUGAGACUCCCGUGCAGCGCCGCCCUCUACACUUGUACUACAUCGGUCGUGGUUUAUUAGUCCCCCAUUGAAUUUGACUGAAGAUUUAACUGACAAAAUGUUAGUGCAUGUCAACAAAAACUAUAUCGUUGGAUUCGUAUUUGAACAUAGUUUUGAAUGAUAUAAUUUUAGGUGACAUGCAUCAGUAUUUAUCGUACUAUAUAUAAUGUUAGUUCAAUUUUUGGUUGUACUAAUCUAUAGUAGUAAGGUUCCCGUGCGUUUCACCGAAGAGUGAAAUGCAUUGAUCGGGGAGUUGUUUAUUUUGACAAAGGAUGCGGGGGUCAUCUCAUGUGUAACAGGUAUCGAUAGGUUUCUUCGGAUAUUAUCUCAUCUCUAGAGCUCACAAACAUCCGGGUGAAAUAGAUAAAAAGGUAUCUUUUGCAAACAAAAGCGUUCAACUGUUCAACCUGCAUCCAAAACUUGUGAAGAAAUAACACUUAUUGUGCUUUGCAAGAAAUGAUCUUUAAGAAUUAGUUUUUGAGUAUUGAUUGUUAUACAUGUUAGCUAUAGAUGACAUGGCACUUUCUUAUAGUCAACAGUUGGCUAUACUAUUAAGUAAUAUUAACCAUGCCCUUAUACACCUAGACGGAUGGAUUAAAUCAGGAUGACUUGCAAGGGGGCAGAGGAGAUGUAAGAAAUGGUUCAUCGUAAGUCUUUCACCAGUACUGUAGUAAAAAUUCAUACAUGGAAGAUUCUAGACUAAACCAUAAACGGAUACACUUUUAUUCAUGCGCGAUACUCCAAUAGAGCAAGAUCCUGCAUGGAAGUCUCCACAUGCUUAGACAACGGAUUACAUUGAGCGAAGACUAAUGAUCAACAUUUAACUUGAUAAUGCGUUUUUUAGAAGAACAGGGAGGCUCCUCCCCGGUUCCAUUAUCAAAUGAAACCCAAAGUGUCUUACAUCAGCUCACUGAGAGGAGCAGUUCAAAGGAAGGACUGCGGCGAAAGCCACUCAAGUUUAACGACAAGCUUACAGAAUCAAAAGCGGCAAAGACACACGCCAUAAGCGCCCACACACACACUACAUGUUUUCUAAGUGCACUUGAUAAUGCGUAUGUCCAGGUGAACCUCCUUGGAGUCCCCGUGCACCGAGUCGGUGGGUAAAGGAUAGAACGGAUGCCAUGAGUUUUCCAAGUCCACAUUGGCGGGAUAGUCCUAGCUCCUCAGAUUCCAAGUCUGUCCGAUGAGGCCGGUUUCGCCGCCCACGUGACCCGGAGAGGUAGUAACAUUGACCUUGCACCCGUACACCUGCCUCGUGUCACUAUCAGCGUCAGCGGCAAUGCCCCUGACGCACGCUACAAAGACGGGGCGGCGGCGUGCGUGGGCCUCGUCGGUUCCCACGAUCAAGAGGAAGACGCUGCCGUCCUCCUCCGAGACUAGUAGGCGGCGGUGAUCCUCCAGCGACUCCGGCAUGGUGAACCGGUAGCACGUGUCGUACUUGAUGUUCUCUGCCAAGGGCCAGCAGUGACUGCUGCACGCAUCCGUGAGGUGAUGCACCAUGCCCGCCGGCGAGCUAUAAAACGGCAUCGGGCACUCAUAGCAGUAGACGAAGGGCUCCUUGGAGGCAUCGACCAGGCCGUCCAUGAAACGGGAGUGGCUGUAGGGGACGUUGCGCCAGUUGAAUAUGUGAUCAAGUUACUACGAGAUUUAAUCCGAAUAAGCACAAAAUAAAUCAUGACGGCUAUAACAGAGAUGAAACUAAUCAUGUGGACUAGCAUAGUAGUAGGAUACAGAGUAUAAACAUGAAUUCUACCACGAUUUUGAACAGGAAGGACAGAAACACAUACGGUGCAACGGGAGCAGCACCGUUGGCGUUGAGAUUGUUGCCCAUGUCAUUGAGGAAGAGGUUGCCGAGGUUGGGGAAGAAGUCAUCGUCGGUGAAGUCGUGGCUGCCAGCAGUCGCGAGAGUGCGCUCCCCAGAUUUCAACAGCGCCCGCCGAAUGGAGCGCAGGAGGGAGUGGCUGUAGGGGGGACGUUGCGGCCGCCGAAUGGAGCGCAGGAGUAGCACACGAAGCAGUAGAUGGUGUCCUUACUAGUACUCCCUAGUCUCUAUCUAUCUAUAUCUAUAUAUAUCUACUCUUAUAGAAAACCGAGUUGGUGAUGAUGGUGUGCCGUGCAAUGCACGGGUAUCUUGCUAUUUUUUUGCAUAUAAGUCCAAACACCACGUAGACACGGUCUUUGAGCAUGGUUCGUAGUCGUUCCACGAUCGGACAUCCAAGUUUGUAACUAUUUUAGAUUAGAAUAUACUACUCCUCUGGUGCUAGUAGUAGAGCAGAGUCCUACUAUACUACUCUACUCUAGCAAGCUAGGGCAUAGUACUAUAGUAGGUACUGUAGGGAGUACCAGUACUGUGAUCACUCAAGCAAGUUGCCUGGCAUUGAUAUGACCCUACGCUGCUGGUAUGUGUCUCGUAAGUCAAGCGGCGUGCUAUAGUCAUCAUCACCUGUCCACUUCUCGUAGCACAUAUUCGCUUCUCCAUCUUUGUCCGCACAUAAUCUCGUCCAAGCUUCCAUCCCCGCUAAGGCGCCUCCCCCCCCCCUCGUCCGAAACCCAAGCACUAACAAUGGCAGAACCAAGCAGCGUCCGCCGAAAGAGUGGCUGGAAUUCACUCCCCACAGAGGUAAUCAAGAUCAUUGUUUCGCGUGUGGACAAUCUCAGUACCAUGCCGCUCGCCGCGUGCUCGUCGGGGCUGUACCGUUUACUCAAAGCCCUCAGGCCGUAGCUUUUUAAUCCAGCUCCUUGCAUAUUGAUGCCGCCUGAUCUUCAGAAACGGCGUGUCAUGCAACAUAACAAUCGUAGGGUGGCGAGCAUCAACCCCCUUCAUUGUGAUCCGAUCCUCGUCAGCCUCAGCUACAUUAACGGUAUGUACUGGGUCGGCAUGAACACGUCUUGGAUGGUGCUCAUCGACAGUCGCGGCAGCUGGAUGCUCGUGGAGGUCUACACCCGGCGAUUGAUCCCCCUUCCUUCGAUUAACACUGCACUGCUUUGGCACCGCGACCCAGAAUACUCGGAAUCUUACAGUAGCCAACAUGAUACCAAGUUUGAUUUGCUCAAGGUUGUAAUCUGCCAAGUGCCCACAAGAUCUGGGAAUUAUAAAGAUUUCAUGCUAAUUGCGUUCUUCAACUGUGGUCUCGCCUAUCUGACAGGUCACUGCGGUAAGUGGAUAAAUCUGCACGUCCAUCGCAGGAUCAUACAUCCUCCAUGGUUCUCUGAUGCCAUUGAACACAAGGGCUUCAUUUACGCUGUCGACUCCGUCUAUGGCUGGACGUAUUGCUGGCCUACUCCAGUCAUCACUACAAACGGUUGUUACAGCAGUAUGUUACUUUCCUAUGAUAUCAUGAUGGCUUGCUUAUAUUACUGUCAACAUUUACUGAAAAAAUAUUCAUGCUCAUAACAUGUUGUUCUUAAGAUUGACUAAAUCAAGAGCCCUUUUUUAUUUGACUCCAACUUGAUAUGAUGUUGUAGGCCGCCUGGUGUCCCUACCCUUCCUAAUCCCAGAACCUUUCAAAGAAAAGCCGCAUGGCAGUUGCAGGUGGUUCCUAGCUCGAUCAGACGACGGCGAAAGAUUGAUGAUCGUUCGCACGUACUGGACAUGUUGUUUCGCGGAAUACAAUCACAGUCACUGCAAGGUCUUUGAGCAGGAUCCCAGCUUCUCUGGGCCUUCAGGAAUUUUUGACUGGAGGCUGGUAAGUAGCCUUGGUACACGCUCUCUGUUUGUCAGACUUAAUUAUCCAAUUAACCAGGAGAUAACCGACGGCAAGGAUCAUGAUGGCAGCGUGGUUUCGUUCAUCAGGCAAAACUGUGUGUACACAGCGUACCAUGCGUCUAUGCAUGCACCAUACCCUGAUAUGUGCCGCCACGCUCUGCAGCCCAAAGUAGGAGAGAGGGUCGCAAGUAUCAGACUUCGACCUGCUGGCUGGAGUUUCCCCCGUCAGGCACCCAUCUGGUUCAAGCCGUCAGCCAAUCUCCACAACCUAAUAAAUAGUAACGUCUAACUGAGCCAGUUAGUUAGAUGCGUACACUUGGUGUAGUAGGAUCUUUAUUUAGUUUGAUGCAUACACUUGUUCUUUUUUGGUAGCCCUUUUGUAAUGAUGGCUGAUGUUUGGUUUGGAAGAGAGAGCUGCGUCUUCACUCUUCUGGCCUGCUUACUGCUUCUGUUGCACCCCCAGCCCUGGUUGUUGCUGCUGCUGUUUUCAAUGUACAAUCAGUAGUAUAUUUCGUCUAUUGGUUGAAUAUAAAUGUGUUGUUAGAACGACAAACACACUGUUUUGGAAGUCGUUGCAUGGUUCGAUCCUUUAGUGCCCUGUAUCGUACGUAGCUCAUACUAUUUUUCGUAUGGAACACAUUUUCCACUUGUUGAUAACAUGCAGCCCACUAAUGAAGGCCCAAUAGAGAAGCCCAUAAUUAACUGGAAGGGACGCUCUCACAUGAAUCCGGCCCAGGUACAUGCUCAUGGUCCCCUAAACAUAAAUAAGUAAAUAAAUAAAUAAAGUUAAAUGCUCAUGCACCAGUUCUUUGGGAAAAUAGGUAGCCCAGUAUUUCUUUUUGAAGAAUACCAAACCUAGGCCUAUUUGUUUUCUCCGAAUUACCGGGCUACAAAUCUUUCAAGACGAUCAAAUGGGAUAUUAGUUUUUUUUAAAUUUUGUUCUUCACUGAUAUCUUAUACGUAUUUUAUUGGAUUUAACAUGACAUAGUACUAACUUAUUUUUAAAUUUGUUUUAGUAUGACUAUUAUUUUUUGGAUUAAGAAUAUUUCUUCCCCAGCAAAAAAUUUCCACAUAUUUAGUUAAUUUUUUGACCCUGGUACUGACCAGAAAAUGGCUGGCAAUUCUAAAAAUGGAAAACGGGCUGCAAUAAAUUCCAUAUGAAUUAGAAAAUGAGUAAAAAUUAUAAAAAUAAUAGCAAAUGGACUGUACACGCCACAGAUUUCAAGGCUGACAUGUUUACGCAAGGCUUUGUCAGUGAACACACGAUUCUAGCCGUCGUGCUUCUUCAAUCUCUGAUCUUUCUGCUCCAGCCGCCUAAACUAGCGCCGGCGGGACUGCCUGCUCCCUCCUCUUGUGGCCCGCUGUGAUGCCGCGUAGGCUUCCCCGGCCCACCCUACUCCCUCCGCUGGUCUGGCCGCACGCAAUCAACUGCCUCCUUAUUACGCAAAAAAAAUGAUUCCUCCCACUAACAUCUGGGGCGCACCGGUUGGGAGGCUGACUUGUGGGCCUACUACGUUGACGCGUAUGCACGGCUUGUCAACUUAGUCAACAAACGAUUCUAGAAGCAGUAACCGUUGGAUUUGAAUCGAACGGUCAUGUUGCUUCUUCAAUCGCUGCUCUUCUUGCAACGGCCGCUCAAACCAGCGUCGGGGAGACCGCCUGCUCCUACCUCCAGUGGCCGGCUGUGCUGCCGUUGAGGCCUCAUCGCCCCCUACUACUCCGACCGCUAGCCAGGCCCUGCGGCGACGGCAGACUCACACCGUAGCCAAACCAGUGAACCCUGGUACUCCUCUCCGUGUGGGCAUCCACUGCCGCGUCUUCCCCGGCUCCGCGUCGUCCCCUUCCUAGGCCUCGCCGUUGUCCACCGCCAUGGUGCUCUCGGGGCGGCAUGGUCAAUGUGGUCAACGACAUUCCAUCGGGAAAAUACUGUACGUGUAGAGGCUGACAGCUGGGUCCACGGCCACAGCCCAGUUUUUUUGUGAUUUGCUAAGUAAUUCGCUUUGUCAGGCCUGUUGGGCUGCAAAUCUUUCAAGACGAGGAGAGCUUUCAUUCGGCUGGCCGAGAAAAUGGCCCAUCAGUAAUGAGAAAUGGGCUGUACAAUUUUAAAACACAUCAAACCGGCAGUUAGUUUCAAAUAUCUUUUUUUUUAUUUCGAGAUUUUAAAUUACAUUAAUUUUUAUGCGUGGAGAAUUUGUUGGAUUUUAUAUUGAUAUACAUUUAUUUUUAAAAUCAGUUUGAAUGUGAGUCGAAAUUUCGGGAUUAAAAACAGUUUGGACCGCACCGAAAUAUGCAAAAUUUCGUAUAAGUUUUUAAUUGUGGCCACAAUAUGGGCUGUAAUGCUAACAAAAAGAAUAUGGGCUCCAAAAAAACCUUCAGAAUUAGCAAAUGGGCUGUAAAUUAUUAAAAAUAAUGGCAGAUGGGUUGUAUGCUAUUUUUCAUAGAUUUGAGGCUUUCCUAAAAAAAGGUUGACGCACAAGCAGUGACUGUUAGAUGGCCAUCCAACAGCGGUCGUGCUUCUUCAAUCUCUGCUCUUCCUGCUUCAGUCGCUCAAACAAGCGCCGGCGGGACUGCCUGCUCCCUCCUCCCCGCGGCCGGCUCUGACAGCUCGGACCCACCAGCUAUAUCUUUGCACGCAAGGAAGUGCUCCUUCUUACGCACAAAAAAAUGAAUACUCCCCCUGUUAGCUGGGACCCAGUAUAGUGGCAGGCUGAUUUGUGGGCCUACUAAGUUGACGGGGACGGAGGGCUUUGUCAACUUAGUCAAUAUGCACGAUUCUAGCUCCAGUGACCGUAUGAUGUCCAUCCAACGGCCAUAGUGUUUCUUCAACCUCUGGUCUUCUUGCUCCAGCCGCCCAAACCAGCGCCGGUCGUGCCUCGUGCUCCUGCCUCCCGUGGCCGGCUGCAAUGCGGCGGAGGCCUCACUGCCCCUACUACUCCCACCGCUGGCCAGGCCAUCCCUCUACUCACCCACACCCCCUGUUAUUCUGCGGCGACGGCAGCCUCACACCACAGCGAACCAGUGAACCCUCGUACUCCUCUACGCGUGGGCAUCCACUGUCACGUCUUCCCCGGCUCUGCGUCGUUCCCUUCCUAGGCCUCGCCGUCAUCCACCGCCCUGGUGCUCUCGGCGCGGCGUGGUCAACGUGGUCAAGGAACGGCUUCCAUCGGACGUGGACUGUACAUGGAGAGGCUGACAGCCGGGUCCACGGCCGCAGCAAGGAAGUGCCUCCUUAUUACGUGAAAAAUAAUUAUUCCUCCACCUGACAGCGGGGACCCACCAGACGGGCCACCAUAUUUCCCUAAAAAACGUUUCCCACCUGACUGCUGGGACCCACCAGCUACACCUUCACACGCAAAGAAGUGCGUCCGGGCAAAAAAAACGAUUCGCCCCCCUGACUGCUAGGACCCACCAGCUACAUCUUCGAACGCAAGGAAGUGCGUCCGGGCAAAAAAAACGAUUCGCCCCCCUGACUGCUAGGACCCACCAGCUACAUCUUCGCACGCAAGGAAGUGCCUGACAGUCGGGACCCACCUGGUCGAAGCGUACGUAGUGUUGUCAUUCUGGUCGCGGACGUGUACGUACAUAUUGGUCGAUGUAGAGGUGCACACGUGUCGUAGAUGUAGAGGCGCGCACGUGUCGUAGUAGAGGCGCGCACGUAGCAUGUACACGUACGUACAACGGCGAGGGUGCAAGAAAGAAAAUACGGCCAUAUACGUACAUACGGGCAGGGUCUCUAACGCCUAUCGCGCAUACGUACAUGGCUGGGUCGGAACGGAGAAACAGCGUCGUCGUCGUGUUCAUGGGGAGCCAACCGGCUGGGUCAGAAUGGAAUGCGUGGUCGUGUUCAUCGGGAGGGCUUGGACGGAACAGGCGAUGGAAACGAGGCUUGGCGUACCGCACAACAGAGGAAACGGCCUUGUGUUCGACCGACCACAUUCGAAACGGGGUCCUGUUGAUCGGGAGGGGCCUGGCAUACCGCAAAACGGAGGAAAUGGACCUCCUAUGGUCGAAAUAGGGGUCCUGUUGAUCAGGAGGGGUGUGGCGUACCGCAAAACGGACGAAACGGACUUGUGUUGGAGCGCUACGGUCGAAACGGGGGGGAGGGGUGUGGCGUACCACAAAAUGGGACUCCACGGGAUACUGUUCAUCUCCACCGUCGACCUCCUCCAGCCUCCAUGGGCUACCGUCGACCUCCUCCAGCCUCCACCGCGCGCUACUCCACCGGCUACUGUUCAACCACCCCUCCACGGGCACCCCUCCACCGUCUACUGUUCAUCCAGCCCUCCACACCACGGGGUCCUGUUCAACCACCCCUCCACAGCCACCCCUCCACCGUCUACUGCUCAUCCAGCCCUCCACACCACGGGUUCCUGUUCAUCCAAAGGCAACGCCACCGCUCACUAUUCAUCCAAACCCCCCGCAACACUCACUGUUCAUCCCAGAGGCAGCAUCGAUCGGCUUCAGUUAGCAGCAGUAGCGAAGGAAUCUCUCCAUCGGGUUCAGUUAACAGCCAUCGAUCGAUCGCUCGGGUUCAGUAACGCGUAGCCUGCAGUGCAAUCGCUCGGGUUCAGUUAGAUCCCAAUGCCUCGCUCGGCUUCAGUUAGAGCCAAUGCCUCGCACACACGCGCGUACGUAUGAGAGAAACGCGCAUCGGUCUCCCACCAUAACCGGCAACUCCUCGAAAUUUUCCUCCCCCUCGCUUCUACCACGGUUUUUUCCGUCAUGGACGGCCCAAAGAAUGUCAUGCAGCUGUGUCUCCGGCCCGCCCAGGAUGAAAAGCCCAUUUUCCGUCAUGAUUUUUUGUCAUAGAAGUAGGAGCCCACCACAUCUAAGAUGAUACCGGGUUUUGUCACAAUUAUCGUCAUAGAAGUGUCAUAUGUAUAACAGAAAAAAAAAUCGUUCGGCCCAAAAUGUCACGGAUGUGUCUUUUUUUUGUAGUGCUAGCCCCCUCCGGUGUCUAUAUAAACCGGAGGGUUUAGUCCAUAGGACAACAACAAUCAUAAUCAUAGGCUAGCUUCUAGGGUUUAGCCUCUACGAUCUCGUGGUAGAUCAACUCUUGUAAUACUCAUAUCAUCAAGAUCAACCAAGCAGGAAGUAGGGUAUUACCUCCACCGAGAGGGCCCAAACCUGCGUAAAACAUCGUGUCCCCUGCCUCCUAUUACCAUUAGCCUUAGACGCACAGUUCGGGACCCCCUACCCGAGAUCCGCCGGUUUUGACACCGACAGCUGCCACAUAAUCACUUUGCGGCUUGACACAACACUGAUCGAGGACGUGAGUCAUGGAGGAGUGGUCGGUGAGGUGAUCAGGCCUUCGCAAGUCCCGGCAGGCCCUGCCGGGACGCCUUGGUCAUUUUCUUCUCGGGGUGGCCUCACCUGCCCGGCUAGGGGGGCCUCUUUCUUGAUGAUAUCUUGCUUCUCUGGCUUGGCCUUGGUCCCUUCGAUCUGCUGGUUUGUUCUUCGAAUCUCUUGGUUUCUUGUACUCCGUCUUGAACUGGUGCUUCAAUCUUGAUCUUGUGCCUGUGCAUAGUCAGGGCAACAGACCCAGGGUUUGUUGCACCGACAGAAGCCUUGGGGCCUGCCCUGAGCGCGUUGUCGAGCAUUGUUAGGGUAGGGCCUAACAAGUGCACAGGCAGAGUUGCUGAAGAGGCUGGUCUCUUGAGAUCUUCUUUGCUUCUUCAUUAGUCUUGAUUCUAGGCCUGUUUAUGGUUUCCCCGCGCGUCGUGUAAAGCCAAUAGUGGUGGGGCCGCUCGAGUAAUGGCCCGUGAAUGACUUUAACGCACGGCGUAGAAGUGGCCAAUUCACUCUUCCCGCCAUGCCCUUAUCCUUAUCCAUGUAUGAUGCAUGCAUUGCAUGGGGUAGGUAACGGAGGCGCGUGGUGCAGGAGAGCAUAAUGGCGAGGGCCCGACGUCUUUGAAUUGGUGGAGGGGGGCGGUGGUUACUCAUGACGGAACCAACACCCAGCUCCCCUCCCCUGCUUGCCUAUAAAAGGAAGAGUGGGGGAGAAGCGGAGGCCUUCAUCCGCACUCCUCUUGUCUCCUCCCUUGCUCUGUCUUGGAUAUGCUGGGAAGGAGAGCCCGUGGCUGGCCCCGGGCUUUAGCUUUGGGUGGAUGAUGCCGAGUGAUGGUGUUAGCGAUCGGGGAGUAAGCUUGGUCCAAGUCCAAGGUGAAGGGCUCAAGAUCAUUGGAAAUCCCAGUACGGCCCCUCUCCUUGGAACUGGGGUUGAUGUCGACGAGAGGCGUGCCUUCCUGUCCGCCAAGGAGGGGAGCGGCAUCCUUCAAGCCCCUUGACCGUCUUGGCCACUCGCCGUCUCUCCUGGGAAGGCGUCUGGCUGGAGUCUUGGCGCUUCCCGGGGGCGAUGGUGAUGGAGAGAAAAUGAGGGAAGGCGGAGGUAGCGAGUGGCAGAGGGUCAGGUCGAAGUACGAUGGCAUGGAUGCCUUUGCCUCUGACCUGCGACCUGCCGCCUCGUCUUCCGUCCUUCCAUUCCCUCCCCGUCACCAUAAUCAUCGACCUCUUUGGGCUAUAGACAGGGAGGGAUGUCUUCUUGGCGCCAGAGCUCGAGUCAGGUCUUCUCGCUGGUGACGGCAGUAGGGGGUGCUCCGCCCCACUCAUACGCUUCUCCUCCACACAUUCGCCAGACCCGGUCUCGUACGGCCACCUCCGGGCGGGCCGCGACGGGACCGGGACGGGUUCCCGCCUGGGAGCUUUUCUCGUCUUUUCCUCCUUCCACCGUAGUGCCUGGGGGAGGGAAAAUGAAAAGAGGAGAUCAUGGGGCACUUAUCUUUUUUCAAUCUUAAACUUGUAGGCACUUGCCAAAUUUUAAUUCAAAUAAUGUAAUCUCUUGAGUCCACGUUCAUGUUCUGUAAUGCUUGUACUUGUAUCAGCAUGUUAAUGAAAAAGAUGAACCUUGCCGGGGACCCAUGCAUGUAUAUGUCCAUGCAUAGGCGAGAUGCCUCUUUAAUGUAAAUAAACGAGUUUUUCGGGCAGGCAAUCUUGCUGGAACCCUUUUUGUCUGCUGGAGAGCCACAUCUGCCGGGUUACAGACAAAGGGACCAACCCCCCGCCAACUUCCCAUUACCAAAGGCCACUGCGACCAUCCUGACCGAAGCAGCGUUCGAGACAGGAAUGGGAGCACCUAAGUCUAAGAAAGAGUGGCGAGGUUUUCUAAUGCAUAAGUUAUAGCUUACAUAACACAAAUGGACAAGAGGUAGAACUUAUCUGUUUGGCUUGUCGGGGAUAGCAGUGUCCGGCAAUCUUCUCAACUCCUUGUAGAAGCCAAGUUCACGGCAAGAACCUGCAGCUUCAUGCAGAUGAGAAUGAACGCAUGAUGUGAUCCUAUCUAUAUGCAUAUGUAGAUGCUCAAUAAAUGCUUAUGCAGUGAUCUGGAAUGCUCAUGCAUGCAUGCAAUCUAGGUUGGGGCCCCCCUACAAGGCUUCUUUAUUUUCUCUUGCACGGGGUCAUCGCCUCGGCUUUGUACAAGGGGUUACAUGUAGCUGAGGCAAGGCCUGUACAAAUGGGUGGCUGCCGGGCCUGCCCGGCACCCUCGCGCCUUGUGGGUAGAACUUGCAGAGAUGCUCAAUAUUCCAUGAGUUUCGCAACUGAGUGCCAUCUCCGGUCUCCAGAAGGACUGCGCCAGGUCUGGUGACUCGUACUACCCUGUAAGGGCCUUCCCACUUUGGUGAUGACUUGUGUGUACCCUUGGUGGACUGAACGCGCCUAAGGACAAGGUCACCUUCCUCAAAACACUGGGCAUGAACCCUACGGCUGUGAUAGCGACGCAGGGCUUGCUGAUAGCGUGCAGCACGCGUAGUAGCCUGGAGACAGUUCUCCUCGAGUAGCACAACGUUGUCACGCCGGUGCUGAUCUUGCAUGACUUCAUCAUAGGCAAGCACUCGAGGCGACCCAUAAAUGAGUUCCGUGGGGAUAACUGCUUCUGCCCCGUAGACUAGGGAGAAGGGAGUCUGCCCGGUAGCUCGGUUUGGUCUCGUUCUGAGGGACCAGAGAACCACCUACAGCUCCUCGAUCCACCGCCUGUCGUGCUUCUACAGCGUAUCAAAGGUUCUCGUCUUGAGCCCGCGUAGCACUUUAAUGUUCGCCCUCUCAGCUUGUCCAUUGCUCCGGGGGUGUGCCACAGAGGCAAAUGAGAUCUGGCAUCCGAGGGCAUGAACAUAUUGCAUGAAGGCGCGGCUCGUGAACUGGGUGUCGUUGUCGGUGAUGAUCCUAGCCGGAACUCCAAAACGACACACCAGAUCUUUCAAGAACUUGAUAGCUGACUAAGCAGUCACCUUUCUCAUGGCAGUCAUUUCCGUCCCCUUUGUAAACUUGUCGAUGGCAACGAACAAGAAUUCAAAGCCCACAAUUGCUUGGGGGAAGGGGCCGAGGAUAUCAAGCCCCCAGACUGAAAAUGGCCAUCAUAGAUGGAUUGUCUGAACCGCUUGGGCAGGCAGGUGGGUUUUCUUGGAAUGGGACUGGCAGGCUUCACACUUAGUGACUAGCUCGACCACAUCUUGAAGGGCUGUGGGCCAAUAGAAUCCUUGCCGGAAUGCUUUCCCAACUAAUGCCCUUGAUCUAAUGUGGGAGCCACACAUUCCUUUGUGUAUCUCAGCCAGCAGUUCCUUUCCUUCUUCCCGGCAGACGCACUUCAAUUUCACACUGUUAGGCCUCCUUCUGUACAGAGAGUCAUCGACAAACUGAUACAUACUAGCCCUCCAGGCUACUUUUUCAGCUUCAUCUUGGUCGCUGUGAAGCUCUCCGGUUUGGAGGAAGCGGACAAUAUGCCUUGCCCAAGUUGGAGUCUGUGGCUCGGCAACAAGGACUAACGACACCUCCUCUCCUGUGGGAGUACCAGCCUCGUAUGCAGGGUCCAUGGGCCCGGCUGGAGGGGGUGGUCCAGCAGGCUGCGAGGAGUUGUUUCUGGCAGGGUCUUUGCCGGGAGCGAAAGACUCUACCGGGAGAGGCUUACCGGUGUCCAACUUUCUACUUUUCUUGGCCAUUGUUGCUAGGGAUACAGAGGGCUGAGUAAGACGGAGCACAAAAGUUCCUGGUUCCACGGGAAGCUUCUGAGCAGAACACUUUGACAGAUGAUCAGUUAUGUUGUUUUCUGCACGGGGUACAUGCUCAAUUUGCAAUCCGUCAAAGUGCUCCUCCAAUCUUCUCAUUUCCUUGAUGUAUGCCUCCAUCAAUGGACUUUCAUAAUCCUUGUUGACUUGUCCCACCACCAGCUGUGAAUCUCCUCGAAUGAUCAGCUUCUUAAUUCCCAAUUUGGCUGCAAUCCUGAGCCUAGCAAGGAGCCCUUCAUACUGUGUUGUAUUGUUGGUUGCUUUUUUCUAGGCACAAUGCAUUUGGACAAUGUACUUCAAGUGCUCCCCGGAGGGGGCGACAAGAAGCACGCCAACCCCUGCACCUUGCAGGGAAAAGCACCAUCAAAAUACAUAAUCCAUUCCUGGGUUGAUUCCUUGCCGGGGAUAACUGUCUCAGUCACCUCCUCAUUAGGGGUUAGCAUCCAUUCUGCAAUAAACUCUGCCAAUGCCCUGCUCUAGAUAGUUGAUCUGCUUUCAAACUUGAAACCAAAGCUGGAUAACUCCAAAGACCACUCCACUAUUCUGCCGGUAGCCUCUGGGUUUUAGAGUAUCCGUUGCAAUGGGAAACGAGUGACAACCGUGAUCUCAUGGGCUUGGAAGUAGUGGCGCAGUUUCCUUGAGGUCAUGAUGAGACCAAAAAUCAACUUUUGCAUGCUAGAGUACCUCGAUCUAGCCCCUUGUAGCAAGGAUUUGACGAAGUAUACUAUGCACUGCACCACUUUCUUCCUUGCCACGUCCUUGGGGUUGCCCUCGUUGACGUGCUCACUGCUGUCCUGAUCCUUGUCUGACUCUGCCGGUCUCUGCUCACUCUCUUCCUCAUUCACUUCUUGCUGUGUUACCAAGGCUGCACUGACCACUUGGUUGGUUGCCGCCAAAUAUAGUAGAGGCGGCUCCUGGGGUUUGGGAGCAACCAGGGUAGGCAUAGAAGACAGGUAGGCUUUCAACUCUUGCAAAGCUGCAUCUGCUUCUGGGGUCCACUUCAUAGGACAUGCCUUCUUCAAAAUUUUGAAGAACUGUGGGGCACACUCGAAAGACUUGGAGAUGAAUCUGCUUAGCGUGGCAACACAUCCCGUCAGGCGCCUCGCAUCUUUAACUGUCCUUGGCCCUUGGAUCUGCUCAAUGGCCUCGAUCUUGUUGGGGUUAGCUUUGAUCCCUCUACUUCUUACUGCGUUUCUUGCUCUUCUUCUGACUAGUUAAUUCAUCAUCGUCCUUUGAACCAACAUUGAUGUGAUCUUCCUCUCUAGGAAAUUUCCUUCCCUCCUCCAUCCGAGCACACUUAUCCACUAGGGUGUACAGAUCCUUCACGGUCUUGGGCAACCGUACAUUCAUCUUAGAACGGAUCAGCUGAUUGCGCACAUUGGACUGGAAGGCAGCUAUCACAGCUGCUGGAUAGAUAUUUGGAAUAUUUCUAUGAACUUUGCUGAAUCUCCGUGAAUACUUAUGGAGGGUUUCUCCUUCCUUCUAUUGGAGAAGUUGCAGGUCGCUAGGUCAGCCCGGCUCCUGGUGGCCACCAGUGAAAGCACUGAUGAACUCGUGGCACAGGUCUGCCCAUGAUGAAACGGAGUUUUCCGGCAGGUGCAUCAACCAAGACCUCACAUUGGACUUGAGGGCCAAAGGGAAGUAGUUAGCGAACACCUUCUCAUCUCUUCCCCCGGCAGCCUGAACAUCGAUGGUGUAGAUGCUCAGGAACUCCACCGUGUUCAGCCUCCCGUCAUACUUCUUAGGUAUCUCUGGCUUGAACAUGCAAAUGGACGGCCACUGGACUUGCCGCAGCUCGCGGGUGAAGGCGGGGUAGCCAACCUCGAAAGGUAGGGGGCGCCAAUAUCGAGCGCUAGCUCGCCGACUCGGGACCGUCGCACCCGUCGGUCCGGAGGAGAUCGUCGUGGCGCUGCUCGACAACACACACGUCUCCUCUCCGCCUAUCUUCUGAGGCUCAUCGUUGACCUGGACGUGCUCGAGGGUCAGAGGAGGCCAUCGAGACGUCAUCAGGGUCUUGAUUUGGUCACGCUCGUGUUGGCUGCCGUGGUGGGGACUGCAUCGUGGGGACGACUCCCUUCCUACGGGCACCAACAUGGGUCGUCGCCGUCGCUUGGGGAGGCCGUGGCGGGCCAGCUCGUCGUGAGCCCUCGGCUUCGGCGAAACCAAGCAGACUUUGGAUGGUGGCACGCCAUUCGUCUAUCUGCUCGACCGCCGGCGGAAACCUCAGCAGCAGCUAAGCCCGUACGAUGGCCUCCGAGGCUGUGCUUGUCAUAGAUGAUGAUGAAGUCGACCGCAUCGUCGCUCGGCUCCUGACAGAGGCAAUGGUGGCAGCAUUGCGCCCUAGCUAUUGCGGUGUAACCACCUGGAUGGCAAGGUGGUGAGAUAGAGGCGCUCGAGGGCCAGCGGCUCUGUUGGGCGCAGCAGCUCGGUCGACCCGCCUAGGGGAAAGCGCACGCAUAGCGGUCAUUCCUGUGGCAGGGGCGGUCGGAGGGCGGCGGUUCGCCCCAGAUCGAGCGCCAUCACUG